ACCCACCAUCAAUCUUUGGCAUGGUAAACUUCAGUUUUCGCAGCCUCUCCUCAUGAUUGCCUCUUCUACGAUGUCGGCGACCAUAUCGAUAUUGAGAAUGAUCAUCAUCAUCCUCCUUUUCAGAUUCUUCAUCAUCAUGAUUUCUUCGACCUUGACCUCUUCCCCUACCUCGGUUCCUCCUUCCUUGUUCCCUUGAGCUUCUACUAGCAGCACUUCUAUCACUCAUAUCUCCAUCUUCACCAUGGUUGCUUGCUCCAUCAUGAGGUUGGCGACGCCUUCUGAUUUCAGUCAUAAGGUUCUGAAGAUCUUGUGUCAACCUAUCUUGCUUUUCUUCUAUGCUUUGUCGGAGUUCAUUAAAUUGUGCCAAAGUGACACAAUCCUCUAUUCCAUCACCCAUCUUCCUGUAAGGUUAGCUGAAUGCAAAUAAAUUGUAUUUGUGGAAUAUUAAAAUUUGGUGGCCCUCACAACUCACCACUCUAACCACCAAGGCUCUUAUGAAUUCCACUGCUGCCGAUUACAAGGAAAACAAAUGUGUGGUGGCAACUGAAAGUGAUGGCGAGGCGAAUACAAGAACAGAGAGUACCGAUUAUGAUGAUUUUUUUAUGUGGAGCUUGGUGGGGAGUAAUAUACAAGGAAUGCAAUCUGAAUUCUAGUUGUUGUAAAGUUAAGUAACGAUCCAAACUAGAAGUUCUCUGCCCAGUGCUGACCAAAAGAUAUGAAAGAAGUAAAUGAUCACACACACACAAAGAAAUUUCAGAAUUGAUGCAAACAAGGAGUAUGAUUGGGAUGCAAGUGUUGCAAUCAGACCCAACCAAAGUUUUGCACCAAACAAAGAUACCAAACUGGUUGCAGAACUUGAUAUGAAACUUUCAGCACUUGUGCACAUAAACCAACUAAUCUUUCAGACUUUCUCUCUGAACUUUUCUCAACUUUUUUUGUCACUUCCCUUUUUUUGCACUUUGUUUUCUUUUUUUGACACACUUUUUUUCUUUUUAUAUAGAACUAAAAAUAGGAAUCAGAUUAUGAUACUUGCACAACUAAAGACAGAAAUAAAACAACAACCAGUAGCUAGAUAGGAUCAAAGUUAACACAAAGGAUGAUAUAGGCUAUAGAGAUUUUUUUUGUGGAGAUUUUUAGAUAUAAAAGAGGCACAAAGAACACGCGAAGGAUAAAUGUUCAGCAACUAAAACAAAGACUCUAAUGGACUGCAACUUAACCGAACUCACUAAAAUAACAGAUUUAAACAAAGGUCUAAGCAAUAUAUUUUUCUGGCUUUUCGGUGGAUAGGACGAAGCAAAAUAUAUAUGUAGCUAGGGAUAAAAUUCCUAACGUGGUAACGAAAUCUUUGAUACCAGAUGAUGCGUCACGUUGUUCCGAUCUUCACGACGUAGGAUGAACACCGAUAACUAGCUGAAGAACAGCCGGAUAACUUGCUGCAAGCAGCGAUAACUAGUGUAACCUGGCAAAUAAAACUCGAAGGCAACCACCGUCUUUAACCGGCAACCUGAAUCGAUGAUUCGCCCAACCACACUCUCAAGGAACCAACCAACACAGCCUACAAUCAAUCAAGAAAUACCUUGAAGGGAGUAGGAGCACCAAUUGGGAGCGGAUGAAGCUGCCGCCUAUGUAAUCACGCGAGGAAAUCGCAAGAGCAUAGGGGUAGAGAUCACUCUUUGGAUUUGUUAGCACGCAGCUGAACAAAGGGGUUCUGUAUUUCAGUUAUCAAAGACUUAGAUUACAAUGCGUCUUAGGGGGUAUUUAUACUAGCAACAGCCCUGCUUGAUAGGUAUGAAAACGAAAUAGAGUUUCUGAGGGAAGACAAUGUGAAAGGUCCCCUCAAAUGGAUUCCCGAAGUGGCUUCGCGUGACUGUUGGCCUCUAGAGGAGUUUCCAAUAAACUGACCAUAACUUUUUAAUGGGAAGUCCAAAUUAUGAAUCGUUUCUUGGGUGUGAAACUAGACUCAAGGGAUUUCCAGCAGUGUAUGCCAACCAGCAUGAAACAUUGUAGAUUGGUACAGUUUUACUUGGCAAGUUGUACCAACAUUUUGUCACAACAAACUGUUGACCUUCUGAGCAGUUUGUACUAAUUCUAGUCUACGAGCAAUAUGGAGUAUCUAAACUGGUCACAACUAGAAUCAUUGGAAAGUAGACUCGUCGCUCAUGGACCUUCAUAGCUUUUGUGAGUAAAAAGUUAUGAAGAUUUCUUUGCACUGGUCCAUUUUUGACUUCCACUGGUCCAUUUUUGACAUCUUCUAGAACUUGCACUGGUCCGUUCUUCUUGGUCUGAUUCUUCCUUCUCUUCUUCUAUAUACCGGAGUACAAUCAAGGUACAACACUUAGGUAGUAUAUAAUUCUCAUUAAUGUUAAAAUGAAUCUCACAAAGUAGCGCGUGGACCUCUUGUUGUAGCUUCUUUGCACGACUACGUGUAAUCGGUCCAUCGAUGACUUGGGCUGGUGUCGGUGUAGGUGAAACUUGAGUGGGUGUAGCUUGACUUGGAGCUUGUGACAUCUUGCUUGGUGGCAUGGUCAUAUCAGAGGGGGAACUAGGACCGGGGCGGAGGUCAACGUUUUCUUCAGGCUAUCAAGGGCUUCCUCGGCUUCGGGGGUCCACGAGAAAUGUUCAGCCUUUUUCAAGAGCCGAUAUAGCGGCAACACCUUUUCUCCAAACCUUGAGAUGAAACGGCUUAGUGCUGCCAAACACCCCGUGACUUUUUGCACUCCCUUGAUGUCUCGAAUCGGCCCCAUUCUUGCAAUGGCCGAGACUUUCUCGGGAUUGGUACCCCAAGAGCUUGCCUCGGGGUACGCCAAAGAUGCACUUCUCGAGGUUGAGCUUGAUUUUGUUGGCGCGUAGACAACCGAAGGCGAUCUAGAGGUCCUCAAUCAGGUCAGUUCGUUUUUUCGAUUUCAUGACGAUGUCGUCGAUGUAUGCCUCGACCGUCGACCCUAUGUGUUUACCAAACACGUGAACCAAAAAAGUUUGUAUUUGAUAUCACCAAAGACGAUAGGAUAUUUGACUUUCUGCUGCUUCAGGAGGGGCAAAUUAAGUUGUCACCCAACCAUGUGAUUCCAUCGUCAGAAGAGUUAAAAAAGAUUAAGUAUUGCAAGUGGCAUAAUGCAACAUUUCGUAGUACAAAUGAGUGCAAGGUUUUCACGCAACAGCUGCAAUCGGCUAUAGAGUCUCGGAGGAUUAUGUUCGAUAGCACCAAAGCUCAAAAGCCGAUGAAGAUUGACCAACAUCCUUUCCCUACAAAUAUGUUGGAUGCUAAGGGAAAGACCAAAGUAUUGACUUCAGAGGCAGCUGAAAGAAGCGCAUCGGUAGAUCCUCAGCACUAGAUUACCGCCGAUGAUACCAAAAGCAAGGGCUUCUUCCAGGAAUGAACCAGCUCAGGAGUGCGAAGUUCGGUAUCGUCGCCAACAGUAAGAUCAUCGUAGGGAAGAAGAAAGGCGCCGACAGGAGUGGAAUCGGCAUAAAGAUCACUAGAAUUGCCUGUUCUUCAUCCACUAUUGGGAGCAAAACAUCAAGCUAAAAACUGUUAGAGACUGCCCUGAGUGCAAUGGCUAUAAUCGGUAUGAUAGACCAAAUCGGCAGUAUCAAGACAACGAUCGGCGUUUUGGUGGGCCAAUUAGAGGAAGGGCGUCAGUUCAUAAUCGACUGGGGGGCAGACUCGGUGUGCACGAUAGGCUUGGUGAGCGUGUCGGUUAUUUUCCUAGGAACCAAGAAGAGCUUGAAGAGAUGGCGGAUGCGCGAGUUCCCAAUGAGUUCAUAUUUUGCAGAGACGCUAAUACUUAUCAGGUGGAAUCGAGGGAAAGUCGUCACCAGUCGGUAAGACAGCCACAACUUCCCCCAUGGUGUCCAGAGGGGUUGACAAGGACAUAGAAGAGGAGGUUGCAGCGGGAGCAACAAGAAGAACUGAGUAAAGAAGAAAAUUCUACUAAGUCUGGAGAUCGACAGCAGUCAGGUCCUAAGGGAACAGGUCCAUCGGUAGACAUUAAUGUGGUGUUUAUAUUGCCGAUGGAAUUCCUGGCACCUUUCAGUGAUGAUGAGGAGGCAGAUUUUUCUGAUCAAAUAGCUCAAUUGGCUCUAGAUCCGAUGACGGCUACUUUUGAAAAGCCUACCGAUAACGAGAGACAACAUCUUAAAGCUCUGUUCGUCAAAGGCAGGGUUGAUGGACAGCUGAUGACCAAGAUACUUGUUGAUGGUGGGGCUGCUAUCAAUAUCAUGCCAUAUGCAGUCUAUCGCAAGCUUGGCAAAGGAGAUCAAGAUUUGACCAGGACCGAUAUGAUGUUUAAGGAUUUUGAAGGAAAUGUGUCUCCAGUCAAGGGACCCAUAUGUGCUGAGUUGACCAUCGGCAGCAAAACCUUGCCGACAACUUUCUUCGUCAUGAGUGGAAAGGGCGCUUAUAAUUUGCUGUUGGGUAGAGAUUGGAUUCAUGCCAAUUGUUGCAUCCCAUCUACAAUGCACCAAUGCUUGGUUCAGUGGGUAGGUGACAAAAUUGAAAUUGUCCCAGGGGAUUCUUCAUAUGUUAUUGCAUCGGCAGAAGCAGAUACUUAUGAAAAUACCAUAUGCAUUUCAGGGGAAGUUUGGGAGAAGGAUUUCCUCAAGGUUGCUGAUUAUGAAAUUCCACCGAUCCAAGCAGUCGGUUCUGAUGAAGAGUUUUAAUGGAUAGGUUCGCCGAUGAUGGAAAGUUAGGAUAGGGGUUUACAUCGGCCGAUGAUUUAGCAGAAGUAGAUAUAGGUAAUGGUGAUAGGCCAAGACCUACUUUCAUUAGUGCUAAGUUAGAUUCUGAGUGUAAGCAGCAGUUAACUGAUUUGUUAAAAGAAUAUAAAGAUUGCUUUACUUGGGAUUAUACCGAGAUGCCUGGUUUAGACCGAUCUAUUGUUGAACAUCGGCUACCUAUCAAAUCUGGAUUUCGGCCGCAUCAGCAGCCAGCUCGCCGAUGCAAUCCUAAUAUUCUUCCUGAUAUUAAGGCCGAAAUAACUAAACUUAUUGAAGCUAAAUUUAUUCGGCAAUGUCAGUAUGCCGAGUGGAUUUCUAAUGUCGUUCCAGUUUACAAGAAGAAUGUGAAGCUUCAUGUCUGCAUUGAUUUUAGGAAUCUUAACAAGGCUACACCGAUGGAUGGUUAUCCAAUGCCGGUUGCCGAUUUGUUGGUUGAUGCUGCAGCUAGACAUCGAGUUAUUAGCUUUAUGGAUGGCAAUGCAGUAUACAAUCAGAUAUUUGUGGCUGAAGAAGAUAUUCCUAAGACUGUAUUUAUUUGUCCUGGUCAUGUUGGAUUAUUUGAAUGGAUAGUUUGACCUUUGGCUUGAAGAAUGCUGGUGCUACUUAUUAGAGGGCCAUGAAUUUUAUCUUUCAUGAGUUCAUCGACAAAUUGGUGGAAAUAUAUAUUGAUGAUGUGGUGGUUAAGUCUGGGGACUUCACAAAACAUCUUGCCGAUUUACGAAAGGUGUUGGAGUGCACAAGGAAACAUGGUUUAAAGAUGAAUCCUUAUAAAUGUGCAUUUGGUGUAUCGGCAAGACAGUUUCUUGGUUUUAUGGUGCACCAAAGAGGGAUUGAAAUUAGUAGAAGAUCUAUUGAUGCUAUUAACAAGAUAGUUGCUCCCACCAACAAAACUGAGCUUCAAUCAUUGAUCGGCAAGAUAAAAUUCAUCAGACGAUUUAUAUCUAAUUUGUCUGGUAAGAUUCGUGCUUUUAGUCAUUUACUUAAGUUAAAAGCCUAUCAAGUGUUUGUAUGGGGAAGAGAGCAACAGUCAGCAUUGGAUGAAAUUAAGAAUUAUUUAACAAAUCCUCCAGUUCUAGUUCCACCUCAGCAAGGAAAACCUUUCAGAUUGUAUUUGUCUACAUUUGGAAUGGUCAUCGGUUCGGCUCUAAUUCAAGAAUUUGAAGGGAAGGAACGUGUGAUUUAUUAUUUAAGUAGAAGACUGGUGGAUGCCGAGACAAGGUAUUCGGUGAUCAAAAAAUUAUGUUUAUGCUUAUACUUUUCAUGUAUCAAGUUGAGACACUAUUUGCUAUCGGCCGAAUGCACUGUUAUAUGCAAAGAUGAUGUAGUCCGGUACAUGCUAUCUAUGCCGAUUAUGAGUGGUAGAAUCAGCAAAUGGAUUUUAGCACUGUCGGAAUUUGAUUUGCGCUAUGAAUCGGCUAAGGCAGUCAAAGGGUAGAUUAUGGCUGAUUUUGUUACUCAGCAUUGUGGUGUAGUAGGAACGUUAGAGAUCGUUCCUUGGCCGCUCUUCUUUGAUGGAUCCACGUGUGACCGGGGGGCAGGAAUCGGUAUAGUAUUAAUUUCUCCUCAGGGAAAGAAGUACGAGUUCUCUUUGCCGAUUGUUGCCACGUCAACGAAUAAUCAAGCUGAAUACCAAGCUCUGAUCAAAGGGUUGGAAUUGUUAAAAUAGGUUCAUGCUGAUGCUAUUGAAAUCUUUGGCAAUUCUAUGCUUGUUAUAAAUCAAUUGGCUAGAACUUACGAAUGCCGGAGUGAUGUUUUGAUAACUUAAUAUGAAAAGAGCAUACAAUUAUUGGGGGAGUUCAAAGAUUUCCGAUUGGAGCAUGUUCCUCGAUUACAUAAUGAAGAGGCUAAUCGGUUGGCUCAGCAUGCCUCGGGAUAUCAACCUAUCUUAAAUAUAUCGGCAAUCAGUGCCGAUGAUUGGAGAAAGGAACUUAUUGAUUACUUAAAAGAACCAUCUAAAAAGGUUGAGAGGCGCGUCAGGUUUCAAGCUACCAAGUAUGUACUGCUUGGAGAAGAGUUAUAUUAUCAAAUGAUAGAUGGAGUUCUGCUCAAGUGCUUGGGUGAUGAUGAGGCUAAGAGCUUGAUGGGUGAAAUCCAUGAAGGAGUGUGCGGAGAACAUCAGUCGGCUUUUAAGAUGAAGUGGAUGAUUAGGAGAAACUGGUAUUAUUGGCCGACUAUACUUGAGGAUUGCUUUAAAUAUUUCAAAGGAUGUCAAGGAUGUCAGAGAUUUGGCAAUAUUGAAAGGGCACCCACAUCGGCCAUGAUUCCUAUUAUUAAGCCUUGGCCGUUCCGGGGAUGGGCUAUUGAUCUAAUCGGCCAGAUCUAUCCGCCAUCGAGCAAGAGGCAUAAGUUCAUCUUAGUUGCCACUGACUAUUUUACUAAGUGGGUUGAAGCUAUUCCGUUGAAGAAAGUAACAUCGGCUAGCAUGAUUGAUUUUGUGAAAGAGCAUAUUGUUUACCGAUUUGGUAUUCCUCAAACAAUCACUACCGAUCAGGGUACUAUGUUCACAUCAGUAGAGUUUGAUGAAUUUGCAAUCGGUAUGAGGAUUAAAGUGUUGAAUUCUUCUCCUUAUUAUGCUCAAGCCAAUGGACAAGCCGAAGCAUCUAAUAAAGGAAUUAUUAAGCUCAUCAAACGAAAGAUUGAAGAAAAUCCUAGAAGGUGGCAUACAUUGUUGAAUGAAGCUUUGUGGUCAUAUCGGAUGGCAUGUCAUGGAUCGACCAAAGUUUCACCUUAUCAGUUGGUAUACAAACACGAUGCAGUGCUACAAUGGGAAAUUAAGACUGGAUCUAGGCGGGUCUCUUUUCAAGAUCAAUUGGCUGCCGAUGACUAUGCUACUUUGAUGAAAAAUGAGUUAGACGAUUUGGCAGGGCAUCGGUUGAGAGCUUUGAUAAGUAUAGAAGAAAAUAAAAAGAGUGUUGUUAGGUGGUAUGAUAAAAAGGUAAAAGCUAAGGACUUUGCCAAUGGAGAUUUGGUAUGGAAAUUAAUUUUACUGAUUGGGACAAAAAGUUUAAAGUUUGGAAAAUGGUCUCCUAAUUGGGAGGGUCCUUAUCGGAUAAAUCAGUCUGCUCCUAGUAAAGCUUAUAUUUUGGAGACUGUCGAAGGAGUUGAAUUUCCUAGAGCAUUGAAUGGAAAAUAUCUAAAGGGGUAUUACCCAAGCAUUUGGGUCGAUGCAUAAAACUUUAAGUGCCGAUAAAACUCCUAUCGACUGGAUAAAAUGUAUCUGGGGCUGUGCAUAAUGUUUUAAAGGUGCCGAUAACAGUCCUAUCGGCUAGACUGGAAUGAUCAGAAGUGUCUAAGGGCGGGACGAAACAAGCCGCCGAUGAGGAGCUUACAGAUUCAGCAAGGCUUGAAUGGCCGAUAUGGCGCGUAGGCGAAUCUGGUUAGCUUCUAUCUCCCAGAUGUCUUCAUCAGCAGAGCCAUCUACUGGCUUUACCUUCUUCUUGAUCUGCAGUGCCUUGCAGGCAUAGAUGUUAUGUUCUUGUUGGAGAGUUUUGAUCAUCUCAGACACUUGUUGGAGCUCGGCUAGCAGAGUUUCCCUUCUUGCUGAUGGAUUAGAAAUCUUCUGUUUCAACGUCUCCUCUGAAGACUGCAGAAUGCCGAUGCUCUUACGUUUCUCAUCGGCAUGGCGCUUUACUUGCAUUACAUCCUCUAUGAGUUAGACGUGAGCAGCUCUAUCGGCAAGACGCUGGGUGGCUUUCUGGUACUGGAGCUGGCGGCUUUCCAAAUAUGCGGCUUGAAACAAGAUUUCUUCUGCAUCAACUAGGGUUUGGCCCCAAAGGGUUUUAAACAGAGCUUUGGCUGGAUCAGAAUCAUCAACCAACUGAGCAGUAUCUUGAUGUAGCAGGACCAAUAGGUCUUCCAUCUUGGCUUUGAUUUAUGCCGAUGAGACCCCUACUGCUUGGGAGGAGCUCGCUUCUUCACCUUCAUCAUCAGAAAUAUCGAUAGCAAAGGAGAAUAAGCUGUCUGGAGAGUCUUGUUCCUAAAAAAGGAGCAAAGAUAAGUUAUCUGGUAAUCAGAUGUUGAAAAUAAAGAAUGGAGACCAGAGACUUACUUGCUUCAGAGCGAUUUUGCGCCUCUGACGAGGGGAUGCGGCUGGUACUAUAGGUUGAUCAGCUGGAGUUGCCGAUUGGACAAUAUCAACUGAAAUAUUACAAGAGUGAUUAUGAUUUAUAAAAAUAAGAAUCAUCGGUAAUAACGUAAUCAUCAAUGCUUUACCUUGAGUAGGAGCAGUGCUUGUUUGUUCUGGGGUGACAACCGAUGAUACACUCAAAUCAGUUAGGUCGGCAAUCUGCUCAAAUACAUCAGCUGGCGCUUCUUGUGGCUGAGGUGCUGAUCGAGAAGGGGACGGUGCUUGUUGUGUCUGGAUUUCUGGUGAAGAGGGUGACGAUUCCACAUGAAUCAGCGAUACUGGACGAGGAGGAGAAGAUGGUGCUAUUUUCUGACGCUUUGGUUGUGAUUUGGUACUCUUGGGACCUUUCCUCUUGACUUGGCUAGGCUGGGGGGCAUCGACACUUGUUUGAGCACUUCUGGUUCUUGCCGAUUUGCCGGUCUGCUGAUACAACAACAAAAUUUCUUGAGUACAAAUAUAACAGAAUAUUGAUGAAAUCUUGUUGAACAGUAAAAGUUACCGAUAAAGUUCCCGUAGCAGCCGAUGUAUCCUAAAAAGAUUGUGUGAGUAUAGAAUGGAAUCGGUAUAAGCAGAGGAAAUCAAAAGUCUACCUUGAAAGCUUGUGCCAAGGUAGCAACAACAACUGUUGGGGACGUCUUUGACCGCCUGGUGGUUAUCUUCUUAAAACGCACAUUCCGAUGCAUUAGAGCUGCCAGGCUUGGUGCAUUGUUGCUGAUUAGAGAAAUUGGACCUGACGGGAGGAGUUCAAUCGGUUUUCCACUUCUGCUGACUGUUGGUGGCAAGUUGUCGACCUGUUUGAAAGAGAGAAGGUGAGUUACCGAUAAGGAUAAAAGUAACAAAAGAAUUGAGGUAUCGGUUGGAGACUUACAGUGUUUUUAGGGACCUUAUACUUGGGGUCGAUCAUGCCGCGGUAUGUCAGAGCCGAUGCACAGAACAGAUGUUCUUUCUACUCUUCCCACCACUGUUUGUAUGCCUGAGUGAUGAAGAGAGCCGGGAUCCAAGCCGAUAGAUCGAUAUCUGACGUAUCGGCAUUUGGUUGAAGCUGGGCUAUCCUUAUCCAUUCAAGACCGCUGGUUAUAGUUUCCCUUGGCUUCACCACAUCGGCAUAACAGAGUCCAAUCGGCAAUACCAGACGGUGUACAGGGCAUAUAGGCGUGCUCAUACAUGAGCCAAUACCAGACGGUGUACAGGGGAUAAGCUCAGGAGGCGCACGCGCCAUCAUCACCAAAGUACACCAUAACAAGAUGGCUCAAGACAAUACCGGUACAGAGGCAUCGAGUAAGUCAGUGCCAUACCCCUAUCAAAGCCUAUACUAAUGUCUAAAUCUAGUAAACUUACGCCUCCCCUUGGACUAUAAAAGGGGACGCUGAGGAUGAGCGAACGGACACACAAGAUAUACAACGCACGUAUAACACCAUUCAUACACUCCCACAUCCUGCUAGGACUUAGAACCCUUAGCUCAAUUCGCUUGUAUUCGCGCGUGUACAAGCACUGAGGUGCAGGUUAAUACAUACUCUCCCCACCCCCCGCUGGAUGUAGGACCUUCCUUCUCCCAAACCAAGAUAAAUACUAGUGUCAAUCUCACAUAACCAUGUGGAAAGGAGAACACGUACACAAAUCCACUCGUUGGUGUUACCCCCUGGGGUCAAAACACCAAUAGUUGGCACACCAAGUAGGGGUCCUGCAUGUUACUGAUGAUUUUCCAUCUUUUUUCUAGAUGGCCACCUCCGUCUCGCCGAUUGCACGCUCCACAGUGAUCUGGUUCGGCAGCCUCGAGUUCAUGUCCACCAGCUUCAACUAUGACAUGAUCCUGCUCUCAGUUAGAGGACUGGGAGGGGCACGCAUCAUGCCCGCAUGGUCAAAGGCCCUGCGACGGCCUCACCACCAUGCUUCCCCACCCAAGAGGAGGCGUGAUCAGCAUGAUCACCACCGCCCCACUGCUGCUGCAUGAUCGCCACCCCACGCAGGGCAGGUUAGCCCCCCAGUGGAGGGGCCGACAGCUCCACGCGCAAGGGCAGUGGUCCGGAUAGCUAACCAGUAGAGCAACCGCCCUACAGCGCUAAGGGACAGCAUCCCCGGUGCACCCUCGUCGCCAUAUGCCCUACUGCCACAUGGCCUGUUCGCCACCAGGGGGACGCUCCUAUUCGGCAUGGACAACGCGGCAACAUCCCUCGCUAGGACAAUAUGUCUUGGUACCAACACGCAUGUGGAAUGGCCAUUGGCCCUCAAAUGCAGCAUAGUGGCACGACAAGAGGCUCACUCAGUGGGUGAAAGCCCAUGCUUUCCACAGAUACGCACGCCUCGGCGCCUGGGACCCGGACACUACACCCUCACCAUGAUAAGACAACAACUAGCAGAGGAGUGGCGCAGAUGCUUCUACACUACCGAGCAAUACCCCAACUCCAAGUCCGACAGCUACGACCCUACGAGGCAAUGGUUCAACAUCGAUGGAGCCGUGGCUACCACAGACGACACAGAGGACGAAGCCAACGCCGCCGCCGCCACUGCUCCAGCUCCAGCAGUAGGAGCAAACCUUAGGACCCCUAGGAAUGAAGGACAGGCAGACCCACCCCCUUAGGACGACAAAGCUGCAUAGCUGUGCAACUGCGCGAGUUGAAGGCCAAACUCGACGAGGAUCGGGAAUGCCUCGAUUAACUAGAACGGGCUCUUGAGCAAGAUCAACCGCACCCGCAUGGUAGAGGCACGCUCGGUCACGCUCGAGACGUAUGACGACAGAUCUUCUAGGAUGGAGAACUAGAGCACCUCAUCAGUCGCUUGCCUCGAGCCAGUCAGAACAUCAUGGCGGCAACCAUGCUACUGCAUAAUAUGCCCGACCGCUCAAACUCCUAGGCACGACACAUACGAGACAAAGUGCAAGGCUUGGUCCAUGUGGCGGUAGCCUAGCAAGCUGAGAGCUCAGCCUCCCGAUGUCGAUGAGUAGCCACGGAGAAGCGCCCUGAGCCAGCUCAAAAUGAUAGAGAAGUAUCAGUCCACCAGAUGCCACCUCGUCGAGGCAAGAAGACGGUGCCAAUCCAAGAGUGCCUCAUCGACAAUCGAGGGCUCCACGACGCUCGUCACAACAUCAAUGAACAAAGACACCGCAAGCUUGUAGACAUGGAGGAACGAGGCUACAACACUCAUCGAGGUGGACGCUACGACAGUGAUGAGGACCAGAUGGCACUAGAGCCGCUGGGCCCUCGAGUCUUCAGCCGGGCGACCCGCAGCACGCCGCUGCCUAGCCCGUUCUGACCCCCGACCAGCAUCGCCAAGUACACCGAUGAAACCAAGCCAGAGUUGUGACUGGCAGAUUUCUAGCUGGCAUGCCAGCUGGGAGGUGCUCGAGGAGAUGAUUGAGCUAUUGUCCGGCAGCUACGACUUUCCUCUUGGACUCCGCUCGCAGGUGGCUCGUGGAACUUCCAGCCAAUCAAAUCUACGACUGGGCCGACCUGCUCUGGGUAUUCGAUGGGAAUUUUAAGGGAACCUACAUCCACCCCAGCAACUCAUGGGACCUCAGCAAGUGCAAGCAAAAGUCUAGGUAGUCCCUAUGAGAAUACGCUCGAUGCUUCUCCCAAUAGCGCAAGGAGCUCCCACACAUCCUCGACAAUGAUGUCAUCCUGGCAUUCGUAUCAGGCACUACCUGUAAGGAUUUGGUGUGAGAUUUGGGAUGAAAUCAUCUGUAGACCGUCGACAAGCUGAUGGACGUGGUGGCAAACUAUGCCGCCAGUGAGGAGGCAGUUGGCACUUUCUUUAGCCACGAGAGCGACAAGGGGAAGGCGCGAGCCGACGACAACGAGCGUCUCAGCAAGGGGCCCAAAAAGAAUAACAACAAGAAGAAGAAAGUGCGGUAGAACAAGCGCGAGGCCCUAGACGAUGACUUCAUCACUGCGGUCAAGCACAAGAAGCCUCGAGGCCCCCAGAGGUGGCAGUCUUCGACAAAAUGCUCAAGGAGCCCUGGCCUCACCACAAGGGAGGGGCCAACCAUAAGCUCGAGGACUGCCGCAUGCUGAAGAAAUACUUUGACAGCCUAGGGCUAAAGAAGGACGACCAAAAGAAGGACAAGGGUGAUGACAAGGGUGGAAGUAAGGACGACGAAGGGUUCCUUGCCGUCCACGACUGCUACAUGACCUACGGUGGGCCCUCGACGCAGCUGUUGAUGCAAAGCUAAUCUGCAAACACAAAGGGCUAAUACCCGAUGUAAAUGUUAAGGCGUGCAGCCGAUUUGACCUUACAAUCGACAAAGGUGGUAACUCGAUCACUUUGGUCCCGACAAAAGCGAUGCGCCCGGAUGUCACGGCCAAGAGGUGAUCACACGGAACUUGAUAAAACAUCGAGCCUAAGUCGACGAAUUCCUAAGAACUCGUAGUAAAAAGAAAAUAUGACGAAGUCGUCGAAAACGUAGAUACUGGAAUAUGAGUAAAAACUUGUGUUUGAUUGAUUGAUAGAUUGUUCAUUACAUUGCCCUAGGGUCUAUAUUUAUACCGUGUCUGAAGAGCUACAACCAGACACGACUAGGACUCGAAUUCCAAACUAAACAGAACCCGUACACAAAAUGAAUUCUAAUAACUAAGGAAAACAUAAAACUACCCCCUUGUAACCGACUGGGGCACCGCCACAGAUCAAUCGGCAAUCUUCACGCUCUCCUUCAGAGUCAUCGGCAAACCUCCUGUUGUGGCCAUCGGCAAACACUAACACUGAUCAUCGGCACGAACACGCCACCACCUCUGGACUUAGUCACAUUCAAUUGUCUCCUCAUCGGCAACCACCUUCAUCGGCAACUUUCCUGCAGACUAGUUACCGUUGCUUCAUCUGCCGAUCUAUACUUUACUAAUUCCCAGGUACGUGUCAAAAGAUAUGUGUCCAAAAACGAUGUCAACACAUGCCCCCCAAUUUCGGAGUAUCAAAUCAUUAAUGCCCCAAAAUUCUAUGUAGUAAUGAUGCCUUUCCGCAAUUAAUUCUCCCAAUUUGGUAACCGUUCGUCAAAUCCGAACAACCUUAGCACGAUUCUCUUGCAUAUUCCUUGAAUUCCUCAACCUCCCGAACCGAAUCUCUCCACUUUAUACGCCCAUCGGCAAUAUUACUCUUAGAGAGAAUUGCCGAUGGACCGACCACGAGAUCUUGUACAGUGAAAUAUCUCCAAAAUCAUGACCACUUGCUGUCAAAUCACCUGCGCAAUCCCUUGAUUACCGUGCGAACAGUUACCAUAUCCACCUGAAUACCCUCGGGUUUCACGGAUGCGGCAAAAGAUAAGUCAGAUUUGCCCCUGCCCGUUUUGUCCUAUAAAUACUUCCUUCUCUGGUACUCCUUCUCCAUCUUGUCAUUCUACAGCCCAAAAUCCACUUUCAUGGCAGCGGCACCAUCCGAGGUUUCCAAGAACUUCAACGAAGGCUCUCUUCACCAACCCCUAAGUCUUCGAUCUUCUUCCAUGCGAGGAGAUGGCCAUCAACUUCGUUGUUCCUGAGGUCAGCUUGCCACCCUUCCUCCUGCAUUUUUAUUGUACUCCUGUUCAUCCACAAUUCGUCUUACUGAAUAGUCCUUUUUACUUUUUGUUCUUCUUUUUAUCCCCAAAAACUUCUAGGAUUUGGCCGAUAAGAUCGUUAUUCCUACCGAUCAACCUCAUCUCCAGUGUCUUGGUCCACUAGGAAACCCAGCUCCCACCGAUAUAAUAAAUGCGGAAACAAACAAAAUCCCUUUUAGAGCUGAAAACUUCUCUCUAGAUCUAUGGAAAGAUGGCUUUCGUUCCUGGCCCAGUCCUACCAAGGGUUGGAAGGAUUGGUUUCUGAGAGUUAGCCAUUCAAACGAGGUUCAAUGGGGCGAGCGGAAACUGGACCAGUGUAUUAGAUUGUCUCUUGCCGAUAGGGAGAGGAAUGAGUCAAUGCUAAUUGCUGCUUCAUACUUCUGGUCAGACACGCUUAAUGCUUUUGUGUUUGGCCAUGGGCCUGCUUCUCCUACACUUGCCGAUGUAUUUAUGCUCACCAGCUUAGAUAUAUCCACUUUCGAUAACAGCCACCUGUUUGACACCAAACCCAGUGCUAAGGUAGAAACUCGUGCUAUCGGCGGUUGGUCCGGGUACAUUCAGAAGUACCGAAGAACAGGACCUGUCAAUGCAAAGGAACAGACCACUUUCCUUAAUAUGUGGCUGGAUAAGUUUGUAUUCUGUGGUCGAUCAGCAGGACCAACUUCUGUUUACUUAUCGGCAGCAGAAAGAUUAGCCGAUGGCUGCCGAUUUCCUCUUGGCCGAUACCUGCUCGGCUCUAUUUAUCACCUCCUCCACCAGGUAGCCAGGAAACUUCUGCUCGGCCAACCCAUCGGCAACAUAGGGGGUCCUUGGUGGUUUAUCAACAUGUGGCUUAAUCUCCACAUACACAAGCGCCUUGAAUUCAACCUCUUUGCACAGCGCUUCCCCAGGGACAUAGCCGAGGAUUAUGAAUUGGAUGAAGAAGAAUCGGCAACUCGCUCCCCCUUGAACUUUAGCGAAGCUACCAUAGUCUUACCCAGCACUGGUGGUAAUGAAGACCAGGUUAGCCGAUUCUUUCAAACUCUGUAUGAAGGUCUGACCAGAGAACAGCGGGCAUGGAUGCCUUAUGAAGAUCCAGACACUAGAUUCCCCCUGACUUUCCAUCCCUUCAAUGAUGCUCUCAAAAAGGACCGUGACGUGAUGAUGGCAAUUAUCACCCCAAGAGCCAUACCAGUGAACUUCUUUGGCAGUGGGAAAGCUUCCAAUCUGACCUAUGAAUUUUACAACCCAUCGGCACUAGCUUGCCAACUUGCUUUCGGCCAACUGCCGAUUGCACUUUGCUACGCAGAUGUGAUAAAGCCGAGGGAAACCAUCACCAGCAAUCUUGAAUGGAUGAGGAUAGCUCAACUUCCACCGAACGCCGAUACAGAUGUCGAUCUAUCGGUUUGGAUCCCAGCUCUCUUCAUUACUCAGGCAUACAAACAGUGGUGGGAAGAGUGGAAAGAGUAUAUGUUCUGCAGAUCGGCACUCACAUAUCGUGGCAUGAUUGAUCCCAAAUACAAGGUCCCCAAUAAUACUGUAAGUAUUUUAACCGAUGUUUCAAUCCCUUCAUUCCCAGUUUCUAUCGGUAACUUACUCUCUUUGUUUUAUUCAGGUCGAUGAUACGCCAUCAUCUGUCAGCAGAAGUGGCAGGCCGAUCGAACUCCUUCCAUCGGGCCCGAUCUCUUUGAUCGGCAACAACGCUCCAACUUUGGCCACUUUAAUGCACCGGGGUGUGCGUCUCAAGAAAAUCACCACCAAGUGGACAAAAACAUCCCCGUCUGUAGCUACCACUGCUUUGGCACAAGCCUUCAAGGUAAAUUCUCGAAUUCUUCAACUUAUACUGAUUCCAUUCUUAUACUUACACAAUUUUUCAGGACACAUGGCCUAGCAUGGGAACUUCAUCGGUAACUUUAUUAUUUUAAUUAGAACCUUAUCAAUACCCUGUUACACUUGUACUCAUAAAACUUUCAUUGUUGUAUCAGCACACUGGCAAAUCGGCAAAGACAGGAAGUACGACUGCUGAUGCACCCCAGUGCUGCCAACCAAAGAGAAAAGGUUCCAAGAGUACCAGAUCACAAGCGAAGCGCCAGAGAACAGCAACGCCUCCCCCUCCUCCAAUGUCACCGAUCUCGGUGGAAUCAUCCCCCUCUUCUCUAGAAGCUCAGACACAACAAGCAUCGUCUCCUCCUCAGCCACAAGAAGAAUCGCAGCCAGAAGAACUUCAGCCAGAAGAAACAUCGGCUGAUGUACACGAGCAGACCGCCGAUCCAGUAAGCUUAAUCACAGCAUCAGUGGUUUCCUCGAUUCAGACAAGUACUGCACCCCCCCAAGGUAAAGUACUGUCUAUGAAAUUAUUGCCGAUGGACCUAUUUCUUCACUUUAUAAUUAUCUGUCAAUCUUUCAGCUGACAUAGUCCCAUCGGCAGCUCCAGCCGAUCAACAGGUAGUUCCACUGGCUUCAACUAGUCAGAGGCGAGAGAUAGCUCUAAAACAAGUAAGUUAUCUGAUUAUCAUUCUUUACUUUACUAAUAUUUCAUCAUCAAAUAACUCAUCUCUUUUUUCUUUCAGGAACAAGAUUCUCCCGACAGCCUGUUCUCCUUUGCUAUCGAAAUUUCUGAAGAUGAAGGAGAGGAAGCAAGCUGUUCCCAAGCAGUUGGAAUUUCAUGGGCAGAGCUUAGAGCAAAGCUGGAAGAUCUGUCAGCCAUCCUCCAUCAAGACACAGCCCAACUGGUUGAUGAUUCUGAUUCAGCCAAAGCUCUAUUCAAAACUCUCAAAGGUCAGAUCCCUGCCGAUGCCGAGGAGAUCCUCUUCAAGGCUGCACACUUAGAGAGUCGACAGCUUCAGUAUCAAAAGGCCACUCAGUGCCUUGCCGAUAGGGCCACUUAUGCGCAGCUUUCAGAGAAAGUGAUGAAGGUAAAGCAUCUUGCCAAUGAGAAGCAUAAGUGCAUCAGCAUUCUGAACUCCUCAGGAGACGUGCUGAAGCAAAAGAUUUCUGACCUAUCGGCGAAAAGAGAAGCCGUGUUGGCAGAACUUAAACAAGUGGAAGAAGCUCUGUCCCAAGCUCAACAGGAACAAAGCCAGCUGCCUAAAGUGAUCAAGACUCUUGAACAAGAGCGAAACGUCCAAGCCCGCAAGGCACUUCAGAUGAAGAAGAAACUGAAGCCAGUGGAGGGCUCAGCCGAUGAAGACAUGAAGGAGAUAGAAGAAGCCGAUCAGAUUCGUCUGCGCGCCAUAUCGACGAUCCAGGCUCUGUUAAACAUAUGAACUCUUCAUCGGCGGCGUGUUUUGCUCUUUCCAUUCAAACACUCCUGAUUAUUUUGGUCUAGCCGAUAGGACUGUUAUCGGCAUCCUUUUAAAACAUUUAAUCCAGCCCCAGAUACACUUUAAUCUAGCCGAUAGGAAUGUUAUAGGCACUUAAACUUCUCAUGCAUCAAUCCAUAUGCUAGGAUAAUAUUUCUUUAAGUAUUUGCCACUCAAUGCCCUGGGAAAUUCAACUCCUUCGAGAGUUUCUAAAAUAUAGGCAUUACCAGGAGUAGAUCGAUUUAUCCGAUAGGGACCCUCCCAAUUGGGAGACCACUUCCCAAAUUUUGAACUUUUAGUCCUGAUCGUUAAGAUUAGCUUCCAUACUAAGUCUCCAUCGGCAAACUCCUUAGCCUUUACCUUCUUAUCAUACCAUCUGGCAACUCUCCUUUUAUUUUCUUCUAUACUCAUCAAAGCCCUCAGCCGAUGCCCUGCUAAAUCAUCCAACUCGUCUUUCAUCAAAGUAGCAUAGUCAUCGGCAGUCAGCUGAUCUUGAAAAGAUAGUCGCCUAGAUCUGGUUUUACCCGUGGCAACACAGCAUCGUGUCCAUACACCAACUGAUAAGGCGAAACUUUGGUCGAUCCAUGACAAGCCAUCCGAUACGACCAUAAAGCUUCAUUCAACAACGUAUGCCAUCUCCUAGGAUUUUCUUCAAUCUUCCAUUUGAUGAGUUUAAUAAUUCCUUUGUUAGAUGCUUCGACCUGUCCAUUGGCUUGAGCAUAAUAAGGAGAAGAAUUCAACACUUUAAUUCUCAUACCGAUUGCAAAUUCAUCAAACUCGCCUGAUGUAAACAUGGUACCCUGAUCGGUAGUAAUUGUUUGAGGAAUACCAAAUCGGUAAAUAAUAUGCUCUUUCACAAAAUCAAUCAUGUUGGCCGACGUAACUUUCUUCAAAGGAAUAGCUUCAACCCACUUGGUGAAAUAAUCAGUAGCAACCAAGAUGAAUUUAUGUCCUUUGCUUGAUGGUGGGUAAAUCCGGCCGAUUAGAUCAAUAGCCCAUCACUGGAACGGCCUAGGUUUAAUAAUUGGAUUCAUGGCCGAUGCGGGUGCCCUCUGAACAUUACCAAAUUUCUUACAUCCUUGACAUCCCUUUCAAUAUUUAAACCAAUCUUCAAGUAUGGUUGGCCAAUAAUACCCGUUCCUCCUAAUCAUCCACUUCAUCUUAAAGGCUGACUGAUGCGCUCCACACACUCCUUCAUGGAUUUCCCAUCAAACUUUUAGUUUCGUCACCACUUAAGCACUUGAGAAGAACUCCAUCGAUUGUUCAUAAUAUAAUUCAUCCUCGAGGAGCACAUACUUGGUAGCUCGAAACCGAACACACCUCUCAACCUUCUUAGAUGGAUCCUUCAAAUAAUCAAUGAUUUCUAUUCUCCAAUCAUCGGCAUUCAUUGCCGAUAACGUAUUCAAUAUGGGCUAAUAUCCCGAGGCAUGCUGGGCCAACCGAUUAGCCUCUGCAUUAUGUAACCGAGGAACAUGCUCUAAUCGGAAAUCUUUGAAUUCCCUUAACAGUUGCAUACUCUUUUCAUAAUAAGUUAUUAAAACUUCACUUUGGCAUUCAUAGCUUCCAGCUAAUUGAUUUAUAACCAGCAUAGAAUCCCCGAAGAUUUCAACACCAUCAGCAUGAACUUCUUUUAACAACUCCAACCCCUUGAUUAAAGCUUGAUACUCAGAUUGAUUAUUUGUUGAUGUGGCAACAAUCGGCAAAGAGAACUCAUAAUUCCUUCCCUGAGGGGAAAUUAACACUAUGCCAAUCCCUGCCCCCCGGUCACACGUGGAUCCAUCAAAGAAGAGCGUCCAAGGUACAAUUUCCAAAGUUUCCACUGUACCCCGAUGUUGAGUCACAAAAUCGGCCAUGACCUAUCCUUUAACCGCCUUAGUCGAUUCAUACCGCAGAUCGAAUUCCAACAGCGCCAAAAUCCACUUACCGAUUUUGCCACUCAUAAUCGGCAUAGACAACAUAUAUCAGACCACAUCAUCUUUGCAUAUAACAGUACAUUCGGCCGAUAAUAAAUAGUGCCUCAACUUAAUACAUGAGAAAUAUAGGCAUAAACAUAAUUUUUCAAAGGCCGAAUACCUGGUCUCAGCAUCAAUCAAUCUUCUACUUAAAUAGUAAAUCACAUGCUCCUUCCCUUCAAAUUAUUGAAUCAAAGCCGAACCGAUGACCAUCCCAUCGGUAGACAAAUAUAAUUUGAACGGCUUUCCUUCCUGAGGUGGAAUUAAAACUGGAGGAUUUGUCAGGUAAUUCUUGAUUUCAUCUAGAGCCAACUGUUGCUCUUUUCCCCCAUAUAAACUCUUGAUCGGCCUUUAAUUUAAGUAAAGGGCUAAAAGCACGAAUUUUACUAGACAAAUUAGAAAUAAACCGCCUGAUAAAAUUUAUUUUGCCGAUCAAAGAUUGGAGCUCAGUUUUGUUGGUAGGAGCAACUAUCUUGUUAAUAGCAUCGAUGGAUCUUCUGCUAAAUUCAAUUCCCCUUUGAUGCACCAUGAAACCAAGAAAUUGCCCUGCCGAUACGCCGAAUGCACACUUGUUAGGGUUCAUCUUUAAACCAUGUUUCCUUGUACAUUCCAACACUUUUCGCAGAUCGGCAAGAUGCUCUGUGAAAUCUCCAGACUUAACCACCAUAUCAUCAAUAUAAAUCUCCACCAACUUGCCGAUGAACUCGUGAAAGAUAAAAUUCAUAGCCCUCUGAUAGGUAGCACCAGCAUUUUUGAAACCAAAUGUCAUGACUAUCCAUUCAAACAACCCAACAUGACCAGGACAUCUAAAUGCAGUCUUUGGAAUAUCUUCCUCAGCCAUGAAUAUUUGAUUAUAUCCUGCAUUGCCAUCCAUGAAGCUAAUAAUCCGAUGCCCAGCCGCAGCAUCAACUAGUAAAUCAGCAACCGGCAUCGGGUAACCAUCCAUCGCGGUAGCUUUGUUAAGAUUCCUGAAAUCAAUGCAAACUCGAAGCUUCCCAUUUUUCUUGUAAACUGGGACAACAUUGGAAAUCCAUUCGGCAUACCGACAUUGCCGAAUAAACUUAGCUUCAAUAAGUUUAGUUAUUUCGGCUUUAAUAUCAGAAAGAAUAUUAGGAUUACAUCAGCGAGCUGGCUGUUGAUGUGGCUGAAAUCCAGACUUGAUGGGAAACCGAUGCUCAACAAUAGAUCGGUCCAAAGUAGGCAUCUCGGUAUAAUCCCAAGCAAACCAAUCUUUAUAUUCCUUUAUAGGCUUAUCACCAUUACCUAUAUCUACCUAUACUAAAUCAUCAGCCGAUGUAAACCCCUGGCCUAAUUUUCUAUCAUCGGUGAACCUAUCCAUUAAAACUCGUCAUCAGAACCGACUGCUUGGAUCGGUGGAAUUUCAUAAUUGGAAACUUUGAGAAAAUCCUUCUCCCAAAUCUCCCCUGAAAUACACCUAGUUCUUUCAUAGGCGUCUGCCUCUGCCGAUGCGAUGACAUAAGAAGAAUCUCCCAGGACAAUCUCAAUCUUGUCACCUACCCACUGGACUAAGCAUUGGUUCAUUGUUCAUGGGAUGCAACAAUUGGCAUGUAUCCAGUCUCUGCCCAAUAGCAGAUUGUAGGCACCUUUUCCACUGAUCACGAAAAACGUUGUCGGCAAGGUUUUGCUGCCGAUGGUCAACUCGACACAUAUUGCCCCUUUAACCGGAGACACAUUUCCUUCAAAGUCCUUUAGCAUCAUAUCGGUCUUGGUCAAAUCUUGAUCUCCUUUUCCAAGUUUCCGAUAGACUGCAUACGGCAUGAUGUUAAUAGUAGCCCCACCAUCAAUUAAUAUCUUGGUUAUCGGCUGUCCAUCAACUCUCCCUUUGACAAACAGAGCUUUAAGAUGCUGCCUUACAUUGUCGGCAGGCUUUUCAAAGAUAGCCGUCAUCGGAUCCAGAGCCAACUGAGCUAUUUGGUCAGAAAAAUCCAGCUCCUCAUCAUCACUGGAUGGCGCAAGGAACUCCAUCGACAACAUAAAUACCAUGUUAACAUCUGCCGAUGGUCUUUUUCCCUUAGGAUCCAGUUGCUGUUGAUCUCCAGACUGGCCAGAAUUCUCGCCCUUGCUUAGCUCUUCUCGUCUUUCGUACUGCAGCCUCCUUUUCUGUGUCCUAGUCAACCCCUCUGGCCACCAUGGAGGAAGUUGUGGCUGCCUUGCCAAUGGGCAACAAUUUUCCCUUGAAUCCACUCGAUAGGUAUUGGCAUCCCUGUAAAAUAUGAGCUCAUCGGGAACUCGUGCAUUGGCCAUCUCUUCAAGUUCUUCCUCGUUCCUAGGAAAAUAUUCGACAUGGUCACCAAGUCUGUCAUGCACACUGAGUCUGCCCCCAGCCGAUCAUGAACUGACGCUCUCCCCCUAAUCGACCCAUUAAAUCGCCGAUCAUCGUCUUGAUAGCGCCGAUCGGGUCUGUCAUAUCGAUCAUAACCAUUGCAUUGAGGGCAAUCUCUAACAGUGGGUAAUUUAAUGUUCUGUUCCCAGCAAUAGAUAAAGAACGAACAGUUCCAAUGAUCCUUGUGCCGAUUCCACUCCUGUCGGCGUCUUUCUUCUUCCCGACGAUAAUCUUCCUGCUGGCGCCGAUACCGAUCCUCGUGUUGCUGCCAAGUUUCCCGAUGCCUUCUAUGAGUUAUCACAAUGCCAUAUCGAGGAGGCCUUCCUGAGCUAUUUCCUUCCUAGAUCAAACCAUUUCCUUUAGCAUCGGCAGCAGUGAUCUGAUGCUGAGGAUCCACCGAUGCACUUCUUUCAGCUCCUUCUGACGUCAAGACUUUAGUCUUUCCCUUAGCAUCCAACAUAUUUGUUGGGAAAGGAUGUUGAUCGAUCUUCAUCGGCUUCUUAGCUUUAGAACUAUCAAACUUGAUUCUCCCAGAUUCUAUAGCCGACUGCAGCUGUUGCCUAAAAACCUUGCAUUCAUUGGUGCUGUGAGAGGUUGCAUUGUGCCACUUGCAGUAUUUCAUCUUCUUUAAUUCUUCAGCCGUUGGAAUCACAUGAUUAGGCGACAAUUUGAUUUGCCCUUCCUGAAGUAGAAAAUCAAAUAUCCUAUCGGCAUUGGUAAUGUCAAAUGCGAACUUUUCUGGCUCCUUAUGCCCAAAAGGACAAGACACAGGCUUCUUAUUUUUCACCCAUUCUGCUAAACCGAUGACCGGCUCUUCGUCAGAGUCUGAGCUUGCUGCCUCAUCAACAAACGACACCUUUUUAUUCCACGCUCUCUUAGGCUCAAAAGGCUUAAUAUCUAGAUCAGAAAUCCUCUGCACCAAGUGGUUCAAACUUUCAAACUCUUGAGAAGCAUACUUGUCCCUGAUAUGCGGCAACAGUCCCUAGAAAGCCAAAUCGGCUAGCUGCCGAUCGUCUAGAACCAGACUAUAGCAUUUGUUCUUAAGUUCUCGCAAUCUCUGCACAAAGCUUUCAAUCGAUUCAUCAUUGCGUUGUUUCAAUCUGACCAAAUCGGUGAUCUUCUUCUCAUGAACUCCAGAAAAGAAGUAUUUGUGGAAUUGCUUCGGUUGGGUAUUCUUAACAUCAUUAACGGUGCCAAAAAUGCCAAACCUAUCCCUCACACCACUUAAGCCAAGUUGUCAUCCCCAGCAUGACAUGAGAGACGCGGUAUUGAAAUAUGCAAUUGCUCUUCUAAAUAAAUAAUGAAUUGGAUCUGCAAGCGCACAGAUUAAUACCGAUGCAGCAUUUUAACCGGGAAGUAUUCCAGGUAUCGUUAUUUAUAUUUUUACCACUGGGAAGGGAUUAGAAAUCAUCACUAAUGAUUACAGAAUAGAAUAUGAGAUUGAGCAUCUAUCAUUGCAUGUAUAAUUGAGAACAUUAUAUCUAACUCUUCAUACAGGGAUAAGUGUCACAUAAAAGAUAUAUGAAAUAAUAAUAGUGACAAGGAUAACUAAUCUGAUCUAGCCACAUAAUAAAUAUGAUAAGCACCUCAAUUAGAUACUCUAGAAAGUCAUUAGCAUGAUAUUAGAACGAACUACAAGAAUAUUCCCUAAGUUAUUCUUAACUAUAUAUUCUAGCAUUAUCAUAGUUAGUGCAAGCAUACUUAGCAAUCAUUGUGAGACAAGACUACACCCAUGCAUAGUGAUAUUAGCAAGGAAUAUGAGAAACAUAGCAAUCACUCCCCUGUAAUAAUGUUGCUCUGCCAGCCCAAUACACGAGAGGGGGACUAUAUAAGAAUCAAUGAAGCUGUCACUAUCACGAACCACCCCACGAUCUGGCAUAUUGGGUACAAUCGCAGAUAAAUACGGUAAAAGCACCACACCUACACAAUAUCUAUCAUUUACCCAUGGAUCCGAUGGAUAAACGCUAUACGAUCCUAAGCAUGUAUAUAGAUCCAAUCUAACUAAGCCAAGUACAUAACUAUGAUAAACUAAGAACAAUAUAAUCUUGAAUAUAAGCAAGUAGAGCAAAGUCAUAAGCAAUAUAUUGAAGUAGAACAAAGUCAUAUUCAUAAUAUUGAAGAACAAAGAUAAUUAGAAAGCAAUUAGAAGCACAAUUAGAGAAUUACCAAGAAUCCUCCAGACAGAUCCGGAAACCAAUCGAAGAUUGACUCCUUCUAGUUCUAAUCCUAUGUAGCUAUGCUAAUCUAGAUAUCUAAUUGAUGUGGUGGCUCUAAUCUUGAUCAGAGGCUUCUUCUCCCUUGAUGGAACAAUGAAUUAGGGUUGAGAGGCUCUCUCCUCCAGGGGCCAGGGGGUCUGGUUUUAUAGUCCCUUCAAGUGAAUAUGGGCCCUUGGAUCAAACCGACAUAGAUUGUAUGGUUUAGAUUCAUCCUUUGGGUCGGUGGAGAUCUCCCGCGAAGCAGAGUCCUGAUUGGACUCCUGGAGAGGGCGGGUGCCCAGGGGAACAGGGCGGGCGCCCUGCCUCUGGCCCCGUUUCGCCUCCGCUUCGGUCUCGUGGCUUCUGGAGUCUUCUAGAUGUAAGAUAAUUGCGCGGCACGUUAAUAUCUCUAUGUAAUCCCGACGUGUGGGCCUUUCUUCCUUAUUUUCUGAUAACCCCCUGCAGAAAUAGACAAACACCAAAACUCGUGGAAUUCUGUCAGAUAAAACCCUAAGUCUAGAUGUUGAUUUCAUUUGGAUCCUUUUCUUUAUUUAUUUGAUAAUUAAAUUUGAUACUUAAGGACCGUCAACAAACUCCCCCAAGCUUACCUCUUGCUCGUCCCUGAGCAAGGAUAGACUCAGCUAUGGAUCAUAAGUUGUUGCAAUAUAUAUUUUUUUAAAAAAAUUUUACGGUACACAUGCUUUUUAAAUAAGAUCUCAUCUCUGAGUUAGAGUAAACUGUCAAGACUUAAAACUUACUUACUUUACCUACACCAUGGGACUUGUAACUGUCACUUCUGUCUUGAGUGGUUAAAAGAUAGAACAGUCUAGCCAAGUGUCAUGUCUCUUAUUCUUGAUCAGCUAUAACUCUGGGGUUUUUUGCAGAUUUUCAAAUAAAACUCAGAGAUUCCUUGUAUGAUUCUCUCAGGUCUCUCUUUUGUGGUAUUUUUGGAUCCUUACCAAGGCAGUGAUGGUAUAUGCCUUCUCUCAAGAUAUGUGGUAUUUGUAGUAUGAAGCAUAGUGACAUUGCCUUCUCUCUCACCCUACUCUAAUAAGGCUUUAAUAUCUGGAGCUCAUAGGUGGGAGAUAAAGUAUACAUACUUACAAGACAUUUAUUGCAUAGUCAAACCAUGGAUCCAAAGUAACAAGUCAAUAAGUUUAAUCAAGAUGUGCAUGUGUGGCGAAUGAAUGGUGUAUGGUGAUGAUGGUGAUAACAAUAGUGGAAAUAAUGGUGGUGGAAGUCUAAUUCUACUUUGCUCUUUGAGGGGAUACAUACCUUCCUUGCUUUUUGAAACAUUAUGAGGAGAAUGAGAUGCUCUUCUUUUUUUUUCUUUUCUCUCAGGUGGGUAUUUUGCACCCCUAAUUCUUCUGUCGGACACUUGUCCAUUUUUACCUCUCGUCUCACUCUUUCUUUUCUUUCGAGGUUCCGAGCACUUGCUCCUUUUUAUUUCCUCGUAUUAUAUAUUUUUUUUUCUUUUUCUUCUUCUUCUUUUUUUUCAGAGAAUUUAUCUCUUGAGAUAAUAUAGCAAGUGGUAGUCACAAGAUAACUGGAGCAUUUAUUUCACAAGGGAAAAAUAGAAAUAUUUUUGGUUAUUCUCUCCCGGGUUAGGAGUAGAAUAUUUUUGGGUGAUUCUGGAGAUGGAAUGGGUGGAUAUAUGUGGAUGGUACUUCCGGAGUAGAAGUAGCAUAUAUGAGUGGACGUGCAAGUGAAAUCUUGAUUUAACCACAUGACAAGCUCCUAAGGGUCUACACAGCUUGACCACACUCAAUGCUCAUAAGCAGUAAAUAGUAAAUGUGUGGCUCAAAGUCUAACAAGCAUGUAUACAUGGCUGUGGUAGGAAUUUAAACUCUCAUCAUACAGGAACUCAUCUUGCAACAUUUUAAAGAUUUUUAAAGAUAAAAUUCUCCAAAAUUCUAGCAUCUCUAGGAAUAGAUAAACAGCAGCUCAACCUUCCCAUAUCGUAUCCGUUAACAACUUAGACUUCAGAUCAAGUUUUCAUCCCACAAGUUUAGGUCUAGGGCAAGCUUUAAAUUAUAACAGUUAUAUCUAAACUUGAGAGAGAACUUAAAAUUUGCAAAAUAGGCAGAGCAACUAUUCAUCAUAUCCAUGCUUAAGUUUUAUUUAGAUACAGAUUAGCAUAGCCACUUUAUUUAUUUAUUAAACACACUAAGCAAAAGACAUAUAUAUAUAUAAGCAUAAAAUCUUUAUUUGAUUUUUCCAUAGUUAUGUAUAUUUAUAUUUUAAAAUAAUAUAAGUAUAAAGAUAGAUAGAAAUACUUAUCGAGAUAUAUGGGGGUGCUCUCCCCCAAGCUGAAUUUUGAUGUAAUUUCUCUUGAUGUAGCUAACAGGUGGCAGAGGUGUAUUUGAAAGUCAGCAGCAUUCUGACAGCGAUUAGAAUGUCCUCCGUCUGCUAGUCUUCUUAAAUUCUGUGGAGCUCAACUAGACAACAUAGCUUGUGGAACUGAUUAAGUGUUAGCAUAAAUAUCUAGCCUUUAUCAUGUUGAGACUCCUUAAUAAUUAUUACUCCCUGUUUUUAUAUUUUCAUUUUAUAAAGCGGACUCCCCAUUUUCUUUAAUCGUCCUGAGGUUCGUUGGGUGGCGUAGUCGGUACUUCCGGUAGCGCCUCCUCUUCAUGUAUAGUUAUCUUCAUUUUCCACAACUGACUUGGUGCUUCAGUCUCCUCUGGAUAAUUCUGUUUAAACUCUACGUCUUCUGACCUUAUAACUUCUCCUUCGUAGUCUGCCCAUCCGUCCUUGAUGAUCUGCCUCCUCUGGUUGCGGUUGCGUCUUUUUCUGACCUGCUUAGAUUCUUCAACGAUAUAGUUAGGGUUAGUAAAAUAACGGCGUACCUUCUCUGAGGGGAAGUGCAUAUGGACUUCUCCGGUUCCAAUGUAGAUAAUUGCUUUAACGGUGCUGAGGAACGGUCUUCCAAGGAUGAUGGGUGGAUCAUACUCAUCUUCUCCCAUGUCAAUAACUUGAAAGUCUGUGUAGACAAAGUGAUCGUCUAUUUUGACUGGGACAUCAGAUACUAUUCCUUUGACUUCUCGGAAUGUCUGAUCUGCCAUCUGGAGCUGAAUGUAUGUUGGUCUUAGUGGCAUGGUUCCGAACAAGAGCCGAUAGGUGACUGCAGCCAUUAUGUUGACGCCCGAUCCGGUGUCGCAAAUCGUUUUGUAGAAGUUGUAUCCAUUUAUGGAGCAGUAGAUGCUUGGCAUUCCUGGGUAGUCCUUCUUGGUCAAAAACGGUGACUUAAGUUGAUGAUCUUGGCCUCCAUGAACUACAGUGACCAUCUUAGCUGACUCGGUCCACACUUGCUUGUUCAUGUUUCUCCUGUUGGUCUUCUUCCUUGAUUCACGUCUGGUUUGAUCUGGAAUUUGUGUAGUCUUGUUCUUGAAGAAAAAUGUCUCCUUCUUCCCUUUGACGUAGAAACUUAUCUUGGCAGCACUGGCGUAGAUGAUAGCUCCCGUGGUGUUCAAGAAUGGCCUCCCUAAGAUGAUAGGUGCUCUCUCGUCAUUUCCGGUCUCUACCACUACGAAGUCUGCUGGGGCAUACAAGGUACCAUCUCGGACACAAAGGUUCCUCACUAUUCCUUUUGGAAAAGUUAUCGUCUGAUCUGCAAACUGCAAACACAUGGUUGUUUCUAGUAAAGGAUAUGUAAAGAAUUUUUCAUAGAGUACCCUGGGUAUAAUGUUGACACUAGAGCCAAAGUCGCAGAGUGCUUCUGGAACGUCCACCAUGCCGAUGGAGAUCGGGAUGACGGGGCGUCCUGGAUCACCUCUCUUGACCGGCAGAAGGUCAGUAGAUAAUUCAUUGACGGGGUUACUCCAAUUACCUGCAUCAAAUAUGUCUACAAGAUUUGCAGAUUCUAAUCCUUCCAGUUGUGAUGGUAUACCGGGGUUAGUAGUAGGAACAGCAGCAGCUAUUUGAUUUAACUGAGAUUCUAUCAUUUUAUUAAAGCUAAUUUGAUUCUUGAUGGCAGUAGAGAAAUUAUCCAUUCUGUUAUUUAUAUUAUCUAGCAUUUUAUCAUUAGAUGCCAAUUUCUUAGAUAGGUUAUCCAUUAGCUUUCCUUGAUUAGACACUAACUCUCUCAAAGGUGGAAAAUUAUUAGCAUUAUUGUUGUAAGAAUUGUUACCUUGAUAAUUACCUGAGUAGUUAGGCCUCUGUUGAUUCCAACCUUGAUUUUGUUGAGGACGGUUGUAGUAGUAGUAGUAGUAGUUGUUGAUGUAGUUCACAUCCUCAAGCAUCUCAGGGCAGUGGUUGCCUGAGUGUCCAGUGUCUCCACACUCCUCACAAGUCAUGUGAGAGUCGUAGAUGUGCAUAACUUCUUUCCUGUCUCCAGCUCUAUCAUCGAGCUUCUUCAUGAGCAGGUCUAGCUUUGCAGACAGCAUAUCUACCUCCUUCAGCUGAUGUAUACCUCCACCUCUCUUGCGUGUCUGGGUCCUCUCUUCAUUCCAGCUUUGGUUGGAUGCCAUCUUCUCCACAAGAGCUGUGGCUUGUGGUAUAGUAAGUGAUAAGAAUGCUCCUCCAGCUGCAGCAUCCAUGGUCUCUCGGGCACUGUUGCCGAGCCCAUGAUAAAACGUCUGCAUCAAUAGCCAACUCUCCAUUCCAUGAUGGGGACAUUCUAGGAUGUAGUCUUGAAAGCGCUCCCAUGCUUCUGGAACAGAUUCAUCAUUUUGUUGCUGAAAACUUGUAAUAUUCCCACCGAGAGCAUUGGUCUUGCCCAUGGGAAAGAACUUUGCCAGGAAGUUUGUUGAGCAGAGUGCCCACGUAGUAUUCUUCUCCUUUGUAGCAUAGAACCACUGCUUCGCUCUUCCUAACAGUGAGAAUGGGAAGAGGCGAAGUAGUAUAGCAUCUUUGGAAACUCCUGCUGUGGUGAAUGUGUUGCAAAUAUCUAGGAAGUGUUGUAAAUGAGCACUAGCAUCUUCGUGUGCCUUCCCACAGAACUGGUUGGAUUGCACCAUGUUGAUAAGUCCAGGCUUGAGCUCAAAGUUGCCAUCGAUCUCUGCAGCAGGUCCAGUGCGGAUGUUGUCCGUAGUGGAAGCUGAGAACUCGCGGAUCGAUUUGUUCGCCAUGGCUUCGAACUCUGAAGACAAGUUCCGGUGAUCUUCUUGAUUGGAUGAAGCUUCUUGCUGAAGUGUUGAUGAUCUCUUCUUGAGCUUGGCUCUCGUCUUCUUGAAUAAUGCUUCGGGAUUGUCAACAAAAUUUCCUGGAAGAUGUCUUCUAUUCAUACAUUCCCCUGCAUAAGAUAAAAUAGAAAAAUAUCGGGGUAAAACUGUAUGAGAGAAUAGAUAAGCUCAAUCAUAUUAGUGAUGCGAAUGAUAACUCAAAAUCUUUUAUUCCAUUCCUGAUUAGUAAUCAACCUUCCCCGGCAACGGCGCCAAAAAUGCUUGUUGGGUAUUCUUAACAUCAUUACCAAAAGUAGACUAAGUUCUCUAAAUCUAGUAACGGUGCCAAAAAUGCCAAACCUAUCCCUCACACCACUUAAGCCAAGUUGUCAUCCCCAGCAUGACAUGAGAGACGCGGUAUUGAAAUAUGCAAUUGCUCUUCUAAAUAAAUAAUGAAUUGGAUCUGCAAGCGCACAGAUUAAUACCGAUGCAGCAUUUUAACCGGGAAGUAUUCCAAGUAUCUUUAUUUAUAUUUUUACCACUGGGAAGGGAUUAGAAAUCAUCACUAAUGAUUACAGAAUAGAAUAUGAGAUUGAGCAUCUAUCAUUGCAUGUAUAAUUGAGAACAUUAUAUCUAACUCUUCAUAUAGGGAUAAGUGUCACAUAAAAGAUAUAUGAAAUAAUAAUAGUGACAAGGAUAACUAAUCUGAUCUAGCCACAUAAUAAAUAUGAUAAGCACCUCAAUUAGAUACUCUAGAAAGUCAUUAGCAUGGUAUUAGAACGAACUACAAGAAUAUUCCCUAAGUUAUUCUUAACUAUAUAGUCUAGCAUUAUCAUAGUUAGUGCAAGCAUACUUAGCAAUCAUUGUGAGACAAGACUACACCCAUGCAUAGUGAUAUUAGCAAGGAAUAUGAGAAACAUAGCAAUCACUCCCCUGUAAUAAUGUUGCUCUGCCAGCCCAAUACACGAGAGGGGGACUAUAUAAGAAUCAAUGAAGCUGUCACUAUCACGAACCACCCGACGAUGUGGCAUAUUGGGUACAAUCGCAGAUAAAUACGGUAUAAGCACCACGCCUACACAAUAUCUAUCAUUUACCCAUGGAUCCGAUGGAUAAACGCUAUACGAUCCUAAGCAUGUAUAUAGAUCCAAUCAAACUAAGCCAAGUACAUAACUAUGAUAAACUAAGAACAAUAUAAUCUUGAAUAUAAGCAAGUAGAGCAAAGUCAUAAGCAAUAUAUUGAAGUAGAACAAAGUCAUAUUCAUAAUAUUGAAGAAAAAAGAUAAUUAGAAAGCAAUUAGAAGCACAAUUAGAGAAUUACCAAGAAUCCUCCUGACAGAUCCGGAAACCAAUCGAAGAUUGACUCCUUCUAGUUCUAAUCCUAUGUAGCUAUGCUAAUCUAGAUAUCUAAUUGAUGUGGUGGCUCUAAUCUUGAUGAGAGGCUUCUUCUCCCUUGAUGGAACAAUGAAUUAGGGUUGAGAGGCUCUCUCCUCCAGGGGCCAGGGGGUCUGGUUUUAUAGUCCCUUCAAGUGAAUAUGGGCCCUUGGAUCAAACCGACAUAGAUUGUAUGGUUUAGAUUCAUCCUUUAGGUCGGUGGAGAUCUCCCACGAAGCAGAGUCCUGAUUGGACUCCUGGAGAGGGCGGGCGCCCAGGGGAACAGGGCGGGCGCCCUGCCUCUGGCCUCGUUUCACCUCCGCUUCGGUCUCGUGGCUUCUGGAGUCUUCUAGAUGUAAGAUAAUUGCGCGGCACGUUAAUAUCUCUAUGUAAUCUCGACGUGUGGGCCUUUCUUCCUUAUUUUCUGAUAACCCCCUGCAGAAAUAGACAAACACCAAAACCCUAAACCCUAAGUCUAGAUGUUGAUUUCAUUUGGAUCCUUUUCUUUAUUUAUUUGAUAAUUAAAUUUGAUACUUAAGGACCGUCAACAGCUUCUCCAGAUCAGCCCAAGUAAUCACUGAGUUAGGAGGUAACGAUAUGAACCAAGUGAACGUCGAUCCAGACAACGAUGACGAGAACAAUCGAACCCUCAACUCGUCUCUGUUAGCAGCUUCCCCACAUUGAAUGAUGAACCUGUUGAUAUGUUUCAUGGUUGACGUAUCACCCUGUCUAGAAAACUUAGUGAAAUCUGGUACCUUGUACCGAUUUGGAAGUGGAAUUAAAUCGUAUGCAGGAGAAUACGGUGUCCGAUAAUAGUAGGUGUUGACUUUGGGCUUUAUCCCAAAUUGGUCUCUCAUUACUUCAGCUAUCUUAUCGGCCCAGUAGGUAUCGCCAUCUUGCCGAUGAGGCGUUUGCGGAUCUGGCACCUACUGAUAUGCUUCCACGUGUCUCUGAGGUGCACGAUCUGCAUGGAACACGGGGUUGAUCAUCUGACCACCAAUCUGCUAACCAAAAUUCAUCGGCUUGUUGACCAACCCUGGAUUCUGAAACCCAGGUUGGAUUUGGCCUUGUUGAAACCCUGGGGCCUGAUGAUUCUACUGAGGCAUCUAUGGAAAGACUAGCUGGCCUGUCCAUCCAUUGUUAGCAUUCAUCGGCAUAGGCCCUGCUGAUGACUGGUAAUUGGGCAUCAUCAUUUGAAGUGACAUACCCUGGCUGUGUCAUAAACCUCUGUUGCAUCAGCAUUGAAUCUGCCGAUGUGUUAGGCAUCUGGAACGUUGGAGCUUGAGAAUUCCCAGUGUAAGGUCUUGCAGUAGUAGUUGUAGUAUACCAGGGACUCUGAUUCAUCGGCAGAUUUGGAGGUGUCGAUGCCAUAGGAACCUUGCCUGUCAAGUCAGCCACUUGAGAUGUUCUAGGAGUCUUCAACAUCAUCUCAGGGGGCAUCCCGUAACCCCACCAAUUAGGAGGAACUGAUCCCGACAUUGCCGAUGCCAAUAGAUAUGUGGCAAGCUUGAUUUGUUCAUCCGAAGUUGAUGGAUUGGUCGUCAUCGGCUUAGAUUGCACAUUAGUGAGUCCUAAUGUGCUUGGAGAGGCAGUAGUUUCUGUGCCCGCAGAGGCCGUAGUAGCCGAUGGAGCCGUGACCACAGGUGAUCCUAGCUGAUGAUAGGCAGGGCUCACAUAAUUUGGUGGCAAUUGUCCUUCCUUAAAAGUUCUAGCCACAGCGUUGAAAACCGUGUUAGACAGCACACCAGCUUGAUUAAUCAAGGCACGGUUAAUAGCAUUGUCAACCAUUGUUGAUUCAAAAGCUUGAUGUGGAAACACAAAGGGCUAAUACUCGAUUCAAACAUUAAGGCGUGCAAGCCGUCGAAAAAGUAGACGCUAGAAUAUGAGUAAAAACUUAUGUUUGAUUGAUUGAUCGAUUGAUUACAAGGCCCUAGGGUCUACAUUUAUACCCUACUCAAAGAGCUACAACCAGACACGUCUAGGACUCGAAUUCCAAAUUAAACAGAAUCCGUACAUAAAAUGAUUUAAAUAACUAAGGAAAACAUAAAACUAUCCCCCCGUAACAAACUGGGAAACCACCACAGGCCAAUCGGCAACCUUCAGGUUCUUCUUCCGAAUCAUCGGCAGACCCCUCAUCGUAGCCAUCGACACAGGUUAAUGCUGACCAUCGGCAUAAACACAUCACCACCCAUAGACUUAGUCACAUUCAGCUGUCCCUUCAUCGGAAACCACCCUCAUUGGCAACUCUCCUGUAGACCAGUUACUGUUGCCCUAUCUUGCCGAUCUACACUCUACCGAUCCUGGGUACGUGUCCAAAAACGGUGUCAACACAUGCCCCCCAAUUUUGGAGUAUGAAAUCAUUAAUGCUCCGAAAUUCUCUGCAGUAUGAUGCCUUUCCGCAAUUAAUUCUCCCAAUUUGGCAACCGAGAGUCUAAAUCUGAACAACCUUGGCCUAAUUCUUCCACAGAUUCCUCGAAUUCCUCAACCUCCCAAAUGGACACCUCCACCUUAUUCGCCCAUCGGCAAUAUUACCAUUACAAGGAGCUGCCGAUGGACCGACCAGGAAAUCCCGCAUAGUGAAAUAUCUCUAGAUUAUGACCGCCUCCUGUCAAAUCACCUGCGCAAUCCCUUGAUUACCGUGCGAACAGUUACCAUAUCCACCUAAGUACUCUCGGAUUUCACGGAUACGGCGAAGAGAUAAGUCAGAAUUGCCCUUGCCCGUUUUGUCCUAUAAAUAGUUCCUUCUCGGGUACUCCUUCUCCAUCGCAUCAUUCUACAGCCCCAACUCUGCUUUUCUAGCGGCGGCGCUGUUCGAAAGCUCCGAGAACUUCAACAAGAACCUCCUCCAACAACCCCCAAAUUCUCCAUCUUCUCCCCUACUAGGAGAUGGCCGUCAAAUUCAUCGUACCUGAGCUCAGUUCUACUUCUCUCUUGUAUUUUUACUGCAUUCCUGUUCAUCCGCAGUUCAUCUUAUUGAAUACUCUUCUCCCUUUUUUAUUUUGCUCUUCUUUUUACCCCCAAAAACCAUUAGGAUCUGUCCAAUAAAAUUGUCAUCCCUACCGAUCAGCCACACCACCAAUGUUUCGGUCCGCUAGGGAACCCAGAUCCCACCGAUCUGAUCAACGCAGAAACAAACAGAAUCCCCUUUAGAGCAGAGAAAUUUUCUCUAGAUCUGUGGAAAGACACCUUCCGUUCCUAGCCCAGUCCUACCGUGGGAUGGAAGGAUUGGUUCUUGAAACUCAGCCAUUCGAAUGAGGUUCAGUGGGGCGAACGAAAACUGGACCAGUGCAUUAGGCUAUCUCUUGCCGAUAUGCAUUGGAAUGAAUCACUGCUGAUUGCUGCAUAAUAUUUCUGGUCAGACACACUUAAUGCCUUUGUUUUCGGCCAUGGCCAUGCUUCUCCCACUCUUGCCGAUGUGCUUAUGCUCACUGGCUUAGAUGUAUCCACUGCCAAUAGUAGUCACAUCUUUGACACCACACCUAGUGCUAAAGUGGAAACCCGCUCUAUCGGUGGUUGGUCUGGGUACAUUCAGAAGUACCGUAGAACAGGGUCUGUCAGCAUUAAGGAACAAACCACCUUCCUGAACAUGUGGCUAGACAAAUUUGUAUUCUACGGUCGAUCGGCAGGACCAACCUCUGUUUACCUAUCGGCAGCAGAGAGAUUAGCUAAUGGUGGCUGAUUUCCCCUCGGCCGAUACUUGCUCGGCUCGGCUUACCAUCUCCUCCAUCAAGUAGCCAGAAAACUCCUACUCGGCCAAUCCAUCAGCAACUUAGGGGGGCCCUGGUGGUUCAUCAACAUGUGGCUCAGUCUCCAUAUGCACAAGCGUCUUGAGUUCAACCUCUUCGCACAACGCUUCCCUAGGGACAUAGCCGAGGAUUAUGAAUUGGAUGAAGAAGAAUCGGCAACUCGUCCUCCUCUGAACUUUGGCGAGGCCGUCAUAGUUCUACCUGGUACAGGUGGCAACGUAGACCAGGUCAGCCGAUUCUUCCAGACCCUGUACGAAGGCCUGACCAGAGAACAGCGAGCAUGGAUGCCUUAUGAAGAUCCAGACACCAUAUUUCCUUUGGUCUUCCACCUGUUCAAUGAUGUUCUCAACAAGGAUCACGAUGUGACGAUGGCUCUUAUCACUCCGAGAGCCGUACCAGUAAACUUCUUUGGCAGUGGGAAGGCCUCCAACCAGACCUAUGAAUUUUACAAUCCAUCGGCACUAGCUCAUCAACUAGCUUUCGGUCAACUGCCGAUUGCACUCUGUUAUGCCGAUGUGAUAAAACCCAGGGAAACCAUCACCAGCCUUCUUGAGUGGACCAGGAUAGCUCAACUGCCACCGAGUGCCGAUACAGAUGCAGAUCUAUCAGAGUGGAUCCCGACCCUUUUCAUUACUCAGGCGUACAAACAAUGGUGGGAAGAAUGGAAGUAUUUCCAAACCGAUGUUCUGCAAAUCGGCUCUUACGUACCGCGGCAUGAUCGACCCCCAGUACAAAGUCCCCGAUAAUACUGUAAGUAUUUCCAAACCGAUGUCUCAAUCCUUCCACUUUUAUUUCCAUCGGUAACUCACUUUCUGCGUUAUAUUACAGGUUGACAACACACCACCAUCAGUCAGUAGGAGUGGCAAGCCGAUUGAGCUUUUUCCAUCAGGUCCAAUCUCCUCGAUCGGCAACAAUGCUCCACCUUAGCUGCCAUAAUGCAUCGAGGUGUGCGCCUCAAGAAAGUCACCACCAAGAGGACGAAGGCAUCUCCAUCGGUAGCUGCCUCUACUGCAGCAUAGGCCUUCAAGGUAAAUUUUCAAAUUCUUUCAUCCAUACCGAUUCCAUUCUUACAUCAGUUACACUUGUACUUAUUGUUGUACCAGCACACCGGCGCAUCGGCAAGGACCACAAGCACAAGUGCCGAUGCCCCCCAGUCCAGUCAACCGAAGAGAAAAGGUACCAAGACUACCAGAUCACAAGCAAAGCGCCAAAGAAUUGCAACGCCUUCUCCUCCUCCAGUAUCUCCAAUCCCGGUGGAAUCUGCUCCUUCUUCUCCAGAAGCUCAGACACAGCAGAUACCUUCUCCUCAGCCACGACAAGAACCCCACGCAGAAGAACUCCAGCCAGAGGAACCUCAGCCAGAAGACACAUCGGCUGACAUACACGAGCAAAAUGCCGAUCCAGCAAGUUCAAUCAUAGCAUCGGUAGUUUCCUCCAUCCAAACAAGUAUUGCUCCCCCUCAAGGUAACAUACUUUUUAUGAAAUUAUUGCCGAUGAAUUUACUUUUCCUGUCCUAUAAUUACUUCUAUUAAUCUUUCAGCUGCCAUAGUUCCAUCGGCAACCCUAGCCGAUCAGCCCGUGGUUCCAUCGACACCAUCUAGUCAGAGGCGAGAGAUUGCCCUGAAACAAGUAAGUUACCCAAUCUUCAUCUAUAUUAUUCAUCAAUACUGGACCAUGGAAUAACUUAUUUUAUUUCCUUUCAGGAACAGGACUCCCCCGACAGUUUGUUUUCCUUUGCCAUCGACAUCUCUGAAGAUGAAGGCGAGGAGGCAAGUUCCUCUCGAGCAAUUGGAAUCACAUUGGCAGAAAUCAAGGCAAAAUUAGAAGAGUUAUCGGCCCUCCUUCAUCAAGACAUAGCCCAAUUGGUCGAUGACUCUGAUCCGACCAAGGCCUUGUUCAAGACCCUCAGAGGCCAAAUCCCCGCCGAUGACGAAGAAAUCCUUUUCCAAAGCUGCACAUCUAGAAAGCCGUCAACUGCAGUAUCAAAGGGCUGCUCAACGCCUUGCCGAUAGAGCUGCUCAUGCUCAGCUCUCAGAAGAAAUGAUGAAAGUGAAGCUCCUUGCCGAUGAGAGGCAUAAAAACAUCGGCACCCUGGAGUCCUCAAGAGAUGUGCUCAAAUAAAAGAUUUCUGAUCUAUCGACAAAGAGAGAAGCUCUGCUUACAGAACUCAAACGGGUAGAAGAAGCCAUGUCCCAAGCUCAACAAGAAGAAAGUCAACUGCCUGAGACGAUCAAGAUUCUUGAACAAGAGCGGAAUGUCCCAGCCCGCAAAGCACUACAGAUGAAGAAGAAGCUGAAGCCGGUGGAGGGCUCUGCCAAUGACGACACAAAGGAGAUAGAAGAAGCCAAUCAGAUACGUCAGCGAGCCAUAUCAACGAUCCAGGCUUUGUUAAACAUCUGAAUUCUUUAUCGGCGGCAUACUUGCUCUUUUCUUUUGAACAACCCUAGUAUUUUUGUCUAGCCGAUAGGACUGUUAUCGGCACCUUUUAAAACACUAAGUCCAUCUCCAAAUACAGUUUAAUCCAGCCGAAAUGUUAGCGGCACUUAAACUUUCAUGCAUCGACCCAUAUACUAGAGUAAUAUUUCUUUAGAUAUUUGCCAUUUAAUGCCCUGGGAAAUUCAACUCCUUCAAGAGUUUCUAAAAUAUAGGCGUUACCAAGAGCUGAUCGACUUAUCCGAUAGGGACCCUCCUAAUUAGGAGACCACUUCCCAAAUUUUGAACUUUUAGUCCCGAUCGGUAAGAUUAGCUUCCAUACUAAGUCUCGAUCAGCAAAUUCCUUAGCUUUUACUUUCUUAUCAUACCAUCUGGCAACCCUCUUCUUAUUCUCUUCUAUACUCAUCAAAGCCCUUAGCCGAUGCCCUGCUAGAUCAUCCAACUCAUCUGUCAUCAGAGUAGCAUAAUCAUCGGUCGGCAGCCAAUUGAUCUUAAAAAGAUAGUCGCCUAGACCCAGUCUUAAUUUCCCAGGGUAACACUGCAUCAUGCCCAUAUACCAACUAGUAAGGUGAAAUCGUGGUCGAUCCAUGACAAGCCAUCCGGUAUGACCAUAAAGCUUCGCUUAAUAACGUGUGCCACCUCCUAGGAUUUUCUUCAAUCCUCCGCUUAAUGAGCUUGAUAAUUCCUUUAUUAGAUGCCUCGGCCUGCCCAUUAGCUUGAGCAUAAUAAGGAGAAGAGUUUAAUACUUUAAUUCCCAUACCGAUCACAAACUCAUCAAACUCCCCUGAUGUGAACAUAGUACCCUGAUCGGUAGUAAUCGUUUGAAGAAUCCCAAAUCAGUAAAUAAUAUGCUCUUUCACAAAAUCAAUCAUAUUGGCCGAUGUAAUUUUCUUUAAAGGAAUAGCUUCAACCCAUUUGGUGAAAUAAUCGGUGGCAACCAAGAUAAACUUAUGUCCCUUGCUGGAUGGCGGAUAAAUCUGGCCGAUUAAAUUAAUAGCCCAUCCUUAGAACGGCCAAGGCUUGAUGAUAGGAUUCAGGGCCGAUGCGGGUGCCCUUUGAACAUUGCCAAACUUCUGACAUCCUUGACACCCUUUGAAAUACUUAAAGCAAUCCUCAAGUAUAGUCGGCCAAUAAUACCCGUUUCUUCUGAUCAUCCACUUCAUCUUAAAUGCCGACUGAUGUGCUCCACACACUCCUUCAUGGAUCUCUCCCAUCAAACUUCUAGCCUCAUCAUCACCUAAACACUUGAGAAGAAUCCCAUCAAUAGUUCGAUAAUAUAAUUCAUCUUCGUGGAGCACAUACUUGGUGGCUUGAAACCGAACACGCCUCUUUACUUUCUUGGAUGGAUCCUUUAAAUAAUCAACGAUUUCUUUUCUCCAAUCAUCGGCACCGAUUGCCGAUGUUGCACUAAUCAUGGGCUGAUAUCCCGAGGCAUGCUAAGCCAACCGAUUGGCCUCUUCAUUAUGCAAUUGAGGAACAUGCUCUAAUCGGAAGUCCUUGAAUUCCUUUAACAGUUGCAUACUCCUUUCAUGAUAAGUUAUCAGGACCUCGCUUCGGCAUACAUAGCUUCCAGCCAAUUGAUUUAUAACUAGCAUAGAAUCCCCGAAGAUUUCAAUAGCAUCAGGAUGAAUUUCCCUUAGUAAUUCCAACCCCUUUAUCAAAGCUUGAUACUCAACCUGAUUAUUUGUUGACAUGGCAACAAUCGGCAAAGAAAACUCGUACUUCCUUCCUCGUGGGGAAAUCAACACUAUGCCGAUCCCUGCCCCCCGGUCACACGUGGAUCCAUCAAAGAAGAGCGUCCAAGGUACAAUUUCCAAAGUCUCCACUGUACCGCAAUGUUGAGUCACAAAAUCGGCCAUAAUCUGUCCCUUAACCGCUUUAUCAAAUUCCGAUAGUUCCAAAAUCCACUUACCGAUCCUGCCACUCAUGAUCGGCAUAAAUAGCAUGUAUCGGACCACAUCAUCUUUGCAAAUAAGAGUGCAUUCGGCCGAUAGCAAAUAAUGUCUUAACUUAAUACAAGAGAAGUAUAAGCAUAAGCACAGUUUCUCAAUAGCCAAAUACCUGGUCUCAGCAUCAAUCAACCUUCUACUUAAAUAGUAAAUCACACGUUCCUUCCCUUCAAAUUCUUGAAUUAAAGCCGAACCGAUGACCAUCCCAUCGGUAGACAAAUAUAAUCUGAAGGGCUUUUCUUGCUGAGGUGGAAUUAGAACUGGAGGAUUUACCAAAUAAUUUGUGAUUUCAUCUAAGGCCAACUGUUGUUCCUUCCCCCAAACGAAUUCUUGAUCGGCUUUCAACUAAAGUAAAGGACUGAAAGCAUGAAUUUUACCAAACAAAUUAGAUAUAAAACUCCUGAUAAAAUUUACCUUGCCGAUCAAGGAUUGGAGCUCAGUCUUGUUGGUAGCAGCAACUAUUUUGUUGAUAGCAUCAGUGGACCUCCGAAUAAUUUCAAUCCCCCUUUGAUGCAUCAUGAAACCAAGGAGCUGUCCUGCCGAUACACCAAAUGCACACUUAUUGGGAUUCAUCUUUAAACCAUGCUUCCUCGUGCAUUCUAACACUUUUCGCAAGUCGGCAAGAUGUUUUGUGAAGUCUCCAGACUUAACCACCACAUCAUAAUAUAAAUUUCUACCAGCUUGCCGAUGAACUCAUGAAAUAUAAAAUUCAUGGCCCUCUGAUAAGUAGCACCAGCAUUUUUCAAGCCAAAGGUCAUGACUAUCCAUUCAGACAACCCAACAUGACCAGGACAUCUAAAUGCAGUCUUUGGAAUAUCUUCUUCAACCAUGAAUAUUUGAUUGUAUCCUGCAUUGCCAUCCAUAAAGCUGAUAAUCCCAUGCCCAGCCGCAACAUCAACUAGCAGAUCGGCAUCUGGCAUUGGGUAGCCAUCCAUCGGUGUGGCUUUAUUAAGAUUUCUGAAAUCAAUGCAGACCCGAAGCUUCCCAUUUUUCUUAUAAACCGGAACAACAUUGGAAAUCCACUCGGCAUACCGACAUUGCCGAAUAAAUUUAGCUUCAAUAAGUUUGGUUAUUUCGGCCUUAAUAUUAGAAAGAUUAUUAGGAUUACAUCGGCGAGCUGGCUGUUGAUGUGGCUGAAAUCCAGACUUAAUAGGCAAUCGAUGUUCAACAAUUGAUCGGUCCAAACCAGGCAUCUCAGUAUAAUCCCAAGCAAAGCAAUCUUUAUAUUCCUUUUACAAAUCAGUUAACUGUUGCUUACACUCAAAACUUAACUUAGCACUAAUAAAAGUAGGUCUAGGCUUGUCCCUACUACCUAUAUCUACUUCCACCAAAUCUUCGGCCGAUGUGAAUCCCUGGCCCAAUUUUCCAUCAUCGGCGAACCUAUCCAUUAAAAACCUUCAUCAGAACUGACUGCUUGGAUCGGUGGAAUUUCAUAAUCGGCAACUUUGAGAAAAUCCUUUUCCCAAAUCUUUCCUGAGAUACACCUAGUCCUCUCAUAGGUAUCUGCCUCUGCCGAUGCGAUGACGUAAGAAGAAUCUCCUAGACAACCUCAAUCUUGUCACCUACCCACUGAACCAAGCAUUGGUGCGUUGUAGACGGGAUGCAACAAUUGGCAUGAAUCCAAUCUCUCCCUAACAGCAAGUUAUAAGCACCCUUUCCGCUGAUCACGAAGAAAGUCGUCGGCAAGGUUUUGCUGCCGAUGGUCAACUCGACGCAGAUGGCUCCCUUAACUGGAGACACAUUCCCUUCAGAGUCUUUGAGCAUCAUAUCGGUCUUGGUCAAAUCCUGAUCUCCUUUUCCAAGCUUCCGAUACACUGCGUACGGCAUGAUGUUGAUAGCAGCUCCACCAUCAAUUAGUAUCUUGGUCAUUGGCUGACCAUCAACCCUUCCUUUGAGAAACAAAGCUUUAAGAUGCUGCCUUUCAUUGUCGGCAGGCUUCUCAAAGAUAGCCAUCAUCGGAUCCAGAGCCAACUGAGCUAUCUGGUCAGAAAACUCCAACUCCUCAUCAUCGCUGGACGGCGCAAGGAAUUCCAUCGGCAACAUAAAUACCAUGUUGACAUCUGCCGAUGGCCCUUUCCCCUUAGGAUCUGAUUGUUGCUGAUCCCCAGGUUGGCCAGAGUUCUCGCCCUUGCUUAGCUCUUCUCAUCUUUCGCGCUGCAGUCUUCUCUUCUGUGUCCUAGUCAACCCCUCUGGACACCAUGGAGGAAGUUGUUGCUGUUUUACCGAUGGGCGACGAUUUUCCCUUGACUCCAUCUGAUAAGUAUUGGCAUCCCUGCAAAAUAUGAACCCAUCGGGACCCCGUGCAUUAGCCAUUUCUUCAAGCUCUUCCUGGUUCCAGGGAAAGUAUUCAACACGGUCACCAAGCCUAUCAUGCACGCUGAGCCUGCCUCCCAGCCGAUCAUGAACCGACGCUCUCCCCCUAAUCGGCCCAUCAAACCGGCGGUUAUUGUUCUCAUACUGCCGAUUUGAUCUGUCAUACCGAUCAUAACCAUUACAUUCCGGCUAGUCUCUGACAGUAGGAAGCUUGAUAUUUUCAUCCCAACAAUGGAUGAAGAACAGACAAUUCCAGUUAUCCCUAUGCCGAUUCCACUCUUGUCGGCGUCUUUCUUCUUCCCGAUGAUAGUCUUCUUGCUGGCACCGAUACCGAUCCUCACGUUGCUACCAAGUUUCUCGAGGCCUUCUGUGAGUUAUUACAAUACCAGAUCGGGGAGGCCUUCCCGAGUUAGUUCCCUCUUGGAUCAAGCCUUUUCCUUUUCCAUCGGCAGUAGUGAUUUGAUGCUGAGGAUCUACCGAAGCACUUCUUUCAGCUGCUUCUGAUGUUAAGACCUUGGCCUUUCCCUUAGCAUCCAGCAUAUUUGUUGGGAAAGGAUUUUGAUCAAUUUUCAUCGGCUUCUGGGUUUUGGAGUUGUCAAAUUUGAUCCUUCCAGAUUCUAUAGCCGAUUGCAGCUGUUGUCCAAAAACUUUGCACUCAUUGGUGCUGUGAGAAGUUGCAUUAUGCCACUUGCAGUAUUUCAUCUUCUUUAAUUCCUCAGCCGAUGGGAUUACACAAUUUGAUCUGGCCUUCUUGAAGUAGAAAGUCAAAUAUCCUAUCGGCUUUGGUAAUAUCAAAUGCAAACUUCUCCGGCUCCUUGUGCCCAAAAGGGCAAGACAUCGGCUUCUUAUUCUUUACCCAUUCUGCCAAGCCGAUGACUGGUUCCUCAUCAGAGUCCGAGCUUGCUGCUUCGUCCACAAAUGAUACCUUUUUGUUCCAUGCUCUCUUGGGCUCAAAAGGCCUGAUAGCUUGAUCAAAAAUUCUCUGCACCAAAUGACUCAAGCUUUCAAACUCUUGAGAUGCAUACUUGUCCCUGCAAACCCUGGAAAGCCAAAUCGGCUAGCUGCCGAUCAUCCAAAACCAGACUAUAGCAUUUGUUCUUGACCUCCCGUAUUCUCUGCACAAAACUUUCAACCGAUUCAUCAUUGCGUUGCUUCAAUUUGACCAAAUCGGUGAUCUUCUUCUCAUGGACUCCAGAAAAGAAGUAUUUGUGGAAUUGCUUCUCUAGAUCGGCCCAAGCAACCACUGAGUUAGGAGGUAAUGAUAUAAACUAAGUGAAAGCCGAUCCAGACAAUGAUGACGAGAACAAGCGAACCCUUAAUUCAUCCCUGUUAGCAGCUUCUCCACACUGAAUGAUGAACCUGUUGACGUGCUCCAUGGUCGAUGUAUCAUCCUGCCUAGAAAACUUAGUAAAAUCCGGCACUUUGUACCGAUUUGGAAGCGGGAUUAAAUCAUAUGCAGGAGGAUACGGUGUCCGAUAAGAGUAAGUGUUGACUUUGGGUUUUAUCCCAAAUUGGUCUCUCAUUACUUCAGCAAUCUUAUCGGCCCAAUAAGCAUCGGCAUCUUGCCGAUGAGGCGGUUGCAGAUCUGGGAUCUACUGAUAUGCAUCCACGUGUCUAUGUGGUGCGCGAUCUGCAUGGAAUAUUGGGUUAAUCAUCUGGCCACCAAUCUGCUGACCACCGAUCUGUUGACCACCAAACUGCUGACCACCAUGAUUCGUUGGCUGGUUGACCAACCCCUGAUUCUGGAAUCCAGGGUAGAUCUGGCCUUGUUGAAACCCUGUAGCUCGAUGAUGCUGUUGGGGCAUUUGUGGAAAGUCUUGCUGCUCAGGCCAUCCACUAUUAGCAUUCAUCGGCAUAGGGCCUGCCGAUGUCUGGUAAUUGGGCAUCAUCAUUGAAUUAACAUACCCUGGCUGAGUCAUAAACCUCUAUUGCGUCAGCAUUGAAUCAGCCGAUGCGUUAGGCAUCUGGAACGUUGGAGCUUGAGAAUUCCCAGUGUAAGGCCUUGCAGUAGUGGUUGUAGUGUACUGGGGACUUUGAUUCAUCGGCAUAUUUGGAGGUGUCGAUGCCAUAGGAGCCUUGCCUCUCACAUCAGCCGUCUGAGAUACGUUAGGUGUCUUCAAUGUCAACUCUGGAGGCAUACCAUAACCCCACCAGUUAGGAGGAGGGACUGACCCCGACAUUGCCGAUGCCAAUAGAUCUGUAGCAAGCUUGAUCUGCCCAUCUAAAGUUGAUGGAUUGGUCGUCAUCGGCAUAGAUUGUGCAUUAGUGACUCCUAACGUGCUUGGAGAAACAGUAGUUUCUGUGCCCACAGCGGCUGUAGCAUCCGACGGAGCUGUGACCACCGGUGAUCCUGGCUGUUGAUGAGAAGGGCCCACAUAAUUUGGUGGCAAUUGUCCUUCUUUGAAAGUUCUAGCCACGACAUUGAAAACUGUAUUAGACAACACACCAGCUUGAUUGAUCAAGGCACGGUUAAUAGCAUUAUCAACCAUGUCUUGAAGUUUACCAGGAUGUGCUUCAAAAGUAACCUGCCGAGGCAUCGGCAUUGCUUCCUUCUGGAUCACUUCGCCACUCCUGUUUAUGCUGAAGGCCUUGAGACAUUGUUGCUUGUAAUACUCCAUAGCCUUCGCAAUAGCUUGCUUCUGCUUAUCUUUGAGGCUAGCUUCUGUCACGGGGAUGACAUUCUCCAAAUCAAAAUCGCUAGUUGCCAUGUCGAUCUUGAUCUGGAAACAGUCCCACUGGGCGUGCCAAAAGAUGUGUUGAUGCAAAAGCUAGAUCUGCAAACACAAAGGGCUAAUACCCGAUUCAAACGUUAAGGCGUGCCAGCCGAUUUGACCUUACUAUCGGCAAAGGUGAUAACUCGAAUACUUUGGUCCCGACAACAGCGAUGCGCCCGGAUGCCACGGCCAAGAGGUAUUCACGUGGAACUCGAGAACACGUCGAGCUUAAGUCGACGGGUUCCUAAGAACUCGUGAUGAAAAGGAAAAUAUGACGAAGUCGUCGAAAAAGUAGAUGCUAGAAUAUGAGUAAAAACUUAUGUUUGAUUGAUUGAUCGAUUGAUUACAAGGCCCUAGGGUCUACAUUUAUACCCUGCUCAAAGAGCUACAACCAGACACGUCUAGGACUCGAAUUCCAAAUUAAACAGAAUCCAUACACAAAACGAUUUAAAUAACUAAGGAAAACAUAAAACUAUCGUCCCAUAACAAACUGGGACACCACAACAGGCCAAUCGGCAACCUUCAGGUUCUUCUUCCGAAUCAUCGGCAGACCCCUCAUUGUAGCCAUCGGCACAGGUUAAUGCUGACCAUCGGCAUAAACACAUCACCACCCAUGGAUUUAGUCACAUUCAGCUGUCCCUUCAUCGGCAACCACCCUCAUCGGCAACUCUCCUGCAGACCAGUUACUGUUGCCCUAUCUCGCCGAUCUACACUCUACCGAUCCUGGGUACGUGUCCAAAAACGGUGUCAAUAACCAUGUCUUGAAGUUUACCAGGAUUGGCUUCAAAAGUAACCUGCCAAGGUGCCGGCAAUGCUUCCUUCUGGAUCACCUCGUCACUCCUGUUGAUGCUAAAGGAUUUCAAACAUUGCUGCUUGUAAUCCUCCAUGGCUUUUGCGAUACCUUGCUUUUGCUCAUCUCUGAGAUUGGCAUCCGUCACAGGGAUGACGUUUUCCAAGUCGAACUCGAUAUUCGCCAUGUUGAUCUUGAUCUUGAAUCUAUCCCACCAGUCGUGCCAAAAGAUGUGUUGAUGCAAAGCUAAUCUGCAAACACAAAGGGCUAAUACCAGAUCUAAACGUUAAGGCGUGCCAGCCGAUUUGACCUUGCAAUCGACAAAGGUGGUAACUCGAUCACUUUGGUCCCGACAACAGCGAUGCGCCCCGAUGUCACGGCCAAGAGGUGAUCACGCGGAACUUGAGAACACACCGAGCCUAAGUGGACGAAUUCCUAAGAACACGUAGUAAAAAGAAAAAAUGACGAAGUCGUCGAAAAAGUAGAUACUGGAAUAUGAGUAAAAACUUGUGUUUGAUUGAUUGAUAGAUCGUUUAUUACAUUGCCCUAGGGUCUAUAUUUAUACCCUGCCUGAAGAGCUACAACCAGACACGACUAGGACUCGAAUUCCAAACUAAACGGAACCCGUACACAAAACGAAUUCUAAUAACUAAGGAAAACAUAAAACUACCCCCUUGUAACCGACCGGGGCACCGCCACAGAUCAAUCGGCAAUCUUCACGCUCUCCUUCAGAGUCAUCGGCAAACCUCCUGUUGUGGCCGUUGGCAAACACUAAAACUGAUCAUCGGCACGAACACGCCACCACCUCUGGACUUAGUCACAUUCAAUUGUCUCCUCAUCGGCAACCACCUUCAUCGGCAACUUUCCUGCAAACUAGUUACCGUUGCUUCAUCUGCCGAUCUAUACUUUACUAAUUCCCAGGUACGUGUCAAAAGAUACGUGUCCAAAAACGGUGUCAACAGCAGCUCUCCUCACGACAGCGCGAGAGGGAACGAUGAGAAGUCUUUGCAGCAAGGAUGGCGGUGCCGCAGUAUCUCAACUGGUCGAGCACCCUAUUGACGGUCCUUAAGUACCAAAUAUAAUCAUCAAAUAAAUAAAGAAAGUAUCCAAAUGCAACCAACACCCAGACUUAGUGUUUUAUCUGACAGAAUUCCAUGAGUUUUGGUGUUUGUCUAUUUCUACAGGGGGUUGUUAGGAAAUAUGGAGGAAAGGCCCACAUGUCGGGUUUACAUAGAGAUAUUAACGUGCCGCACAAUUUUCUAUCAUCUAGAAGACUCCAGAAGCCACGGGAACGAACGGGAAGCCGAGCGGGCUCGGGGACAGGGCGCCCGCCCUCCCCCCUUGGGCACCCGCCCUGGUGUUUUGGCCAAUCAUGUUCUACUUCGUGGAUCAUGCUCCACCGACCUAAAGGAUCAAGAAAAACCGUGCGAUUAAUGUCAGUUUGAUCCGACGGCCCAGAUUCACUUGAGGGGACUAUAUAAGCAGGCCCCCUGGACCUUGGAGGAGGCACCCCCUUCAUCCUUAUUCAUUAUUCAUAGAUAGAGCAAAAGCUAGGGUUUGGAGAUGAGAACUCUCCUCUCAUCUCUAAACUAGAGUAGAUCUAGAUAGUAGCGAGAUGGAGAGUGAGGGAGGAUUGGAGGAGAGGCCGGCCUGUUGGUUCUUCCUCUGGUUGUACUUUGCCAUGAUCAAGCUCUAAUCAAGUUUUCUCAUGGGAUGACUCUGGUAAUCUACUUCUAUUUCAUUAUGCAAUUACUAUCCAUGUAUGUUCUGGUUCACAACUCUUUUGAGUACUUUAAUCUAUAGGACGCUAUAGGUGAGAGUUGUAGUAUAGGUGUAAGCGUGGUGCUUAGACCUAGAUUACUUGUGGAUAUCCCCAGUCUAGCCGGAUCGUGUGGUAGGCCGCGUAGGUGACAGUUACAUUGGCCCCUGUAGUCCACCUCCUGUUAGCAGGACUGGUAGGGUUUAUCGGUCUAUGGAUAAGCAUCCUUUGUGGUGUAUUCUUAUCACGUGGUUCGUCCCAGACAUAGACAUACCCCUUUGAAGUAGAGAAACCAUAGUUAUCCUCUCUAUUCUCCUACCAUCGCCAAUAUACUAGAUUGCUCUACUAUCUAUUCCCAUAUUAUCACCCAUUGUUAUCUUACCUUUAAUAUUGUUCUUAUUCAAUUCUACCAUCUUUCCUAUUUACACCUAUCUAUCUAUCUUGGUUAAGUUAGAGCGUAGUUGGUUCUCCCGUUUCCCUGUGGAUACGAUAAAACCUUUAAUUGGGUAAAAGCUACAAUGGUAUCCGUGCGCUUGCGGAUUUAUCUGUGUGUGUAUAAAUACCAUAGUACACUCUAGUGCCAUGUUGGGGAUGACAACCUAGUAUUCAAGUGGUGUUAGCAAGUGUCAACAAGCUUUUUGGCACCGUUGCCGGGGAGACGGUUGCUGAGUUGACUACAAACUAGCUUAAUCAUUUUCUAAAAAAAUAUACUUUUCCUUUUGUCCUUUGCCUUAUAUCUGCUAUUCUUUCUUCUUAUCUAAUCCUUGAUUUCUCGUCUACCAUGAAUGCAAACAUGUCUAUCUAUCAGUUUCAUAGACCUACAGGCACACAUCUCGAACCACCAAAAUCUUCAAAGCCUAUUGUUGACGGUUCUUAAGUUUCAAUUUUAAUUGUCAAAUAAACAAGAGAAAGGACCAAUAUGCAAACAACACCUAGAAUUAGGGUUUGAUCUGACAGAAUUCCACGAGUUUUGUUAUUUAUCUGUUUCUGCAGGGGGUUAUCAGGAAAUAAGGAAGAAAGGCCCACAUGUCGGGAUUACAUAGAGAUAUUAAUGCACCGCGCAAUUUUCUACCAUCUAGAAGACUCAGAAGCCACAUGAACGAAGCGGAGACCAAAUGGGGCCUGGCCCAGGGCGCCCGCUCCCCUUUGGAGUCCAAUCAGGACUCUCUUUGCAGAUCAAACUCCACCUGGUUUGAUCCAACCGCCCACUUUCACCUGAGGGGACUAUAAAAUCAGACCCCCUAGCCCCUGGAGGAGACAAGUUCAUCAUAGAGUUGAGAGGAUCCCUCGAAGGAACACCUCUACUCUAAAUAGACUUAGGGCUUAGCAUCCAAUGUGAGUAGAAUUAGAUCUUCUAGUUUCUACUAGAUUGAGAGAGAUAGAGUGGAGGUAUAGAUCGGAGGAAGCCCGGCCUGUCGGUGUCUACUCCGAGGUUGUACCUGCGGGAUCAAGUUCUCCUAACCAGAAGCUUGCUCCUAGGAUUCUUCAGUAUUUUGACUUCUAAAUUCUAGUAAGUUCUUGUUUUAUUGUUCUUUGGUUUAUGAGUUUACUUUAAUCUCUUCGUGUAGAGUUUAGAGUAAUCAUCUCUAGCGUACACGUAGUAUUUGGGCUAGGAUACUCAUAGAUAUUCCCUGACUAGCUGGACCGUGGUAGUAGCGAGGAACGUGACAUUUCCGAGUUACUUUGCAAACCAUAUCUCGUUAGCAGGAAGGAUAGGGUUUAUAGGUGCGGGUUGAACAUCCUCUGUGGUGUCUAGAUUCUGUAACCUUCCCCAACAGAACAGUAGAUCAUCCUUACCAAGGUUAGAAAGAGACUAUGGUUGUAGUUUUCUCUGUUUAUCACUCACAUCGAGAAACAUUCUUUGUAGCCUAAAGGUUAGUAGUAAUAGACUGGGUUAGUCAGAUGCACUCUUUCUCCUAGUGGUAAAAAUAUAAAUACAAUACUCUGGAUAACCUCCCGGGUGAAGUGCUCACCGAUAUCCGUGCGCUUGCGGAUCAAUUCCUUAUUGCGUUCCCAAAUAUCAACAAGCAUUUCUGGCGCCGUUGCCGGGCAGAAAGACGGUUUGCUGAGAUAACCUUGAGUCUUACUACUAGCUUGUAUCUAUACUUUUAUCUUUUCUUAUCUUUUAUAUUCUUUAUUUAUUUUCUUUAUUCUUACCUUAUGGAAAACCAAGAUUCUAAAUCAAUCUACCAAUUUGCAACACCUUCAGAAACUAACCUUUUACCAUGGGAGUCAUCACAGCCUAUCCAAACAUCCCAGUAUAGGUUAAUUUCUAGGUUGAUUGCCAUGAUUCAAAACCUAUCCUUUUGAGGAAAGGAAGACGAAAACCCUUACCUUCAUAUUAGAGAUUUUGAGCAAACAUGUGAUUGUCUUCGCAUUGAAGGCAUUUCUGAUAAAACUUUACGUUGGAAGCUUUUUCCUUUUUCUUUAAGGGGAGAAGCUAGACAAUGGUAUAGUCAGAAGGUAAGUCAACAACAAGGUGAAUGGGGAGUUUUACGAGCCGACUUUUGUCUAGAUUUUUAUUCCCUCGACCGUAUCGGCGACCUUAGACAAAUCCUAGAAAAAGAUAAUGAAACUUUGGGAAAAUCCUGGAAACAUUUUUCUGAUUUUUUAGAAUCUGGUCCAAACCUUAAUCUUGAAGACCCUGUUCUUUUAUUUCACUUUUUUCGAGGUCUUCAGAACGAUCACAAACAAAUGCUACAUACAAUGUCUAGAGGUUCUUUCUUUCGCAUCCCUACUAAUGAUGCUAGAGUGAUCCCAGAUAGAAUCCUAGAAGCUGAGAUGGAUGAUACCCUUCAUAAUGAAACCCACGAAGCUGAAGUAGACACUCUGCCAAAUUCUCCAUCUACUUUAGCUUUCUCAAGUUCUGAGCCACAAAAGGAAGAAAUUCCACCACCUGAUUUCAUGCAGGAUAUAGAAUCUGAUCUUUUCACGGAUUUUGGAAACAUUUCAAACAACCAUUCUAUUAACAUACCCCAAAACUGCCAUUUUAGCAUUUGUUUACCAAGUGAACAUCAAUUAAGAGAGCUUAUCUCAGUCAUGAGUAGCGAAUGGUUGGAGGAAUCAGAGCUUUCCUCUAAUGUGAUCCGUUAGGACACACCCUCUAUAACUAUACGCUGUGCUUAUGAUUCUGAUCGAUUUGAUGUUCUCUAUAAUCCAGUUGUGGGGAU
This 49473-nucleotide long non-coding RNA is filed under the name Sorghum bicolor (sorghum). Its description in RNAcentral is "long non-coding RNA (SBIC_LNC017717)". The stretch from base 28726 to 28832 matches the Rfam family "Plant small nucleolar RNA R71". The record is from RNAcentral. Lineage: Eukaryota; Viridiplantae; Streptophyta; Magnoliopsida; Poales; Poaceae.